RNAcentral lists this long non-coding RNA (51119 nucleotides) under Fragaria vesca (wild strawberry). Its description in RNAcentral is "long non-coding RNA (FVES_LNC000432)". Lineage: Eukaryota; Viridiplantae; Streptophyta; Magnoliopsida; Rosales; Rosaceae. The record is from RNAcentral.
CCUUACCAUAUUGGUAUUGUGUAAUUCCUUAUAUAAAUGGCUCAUAUCAAUGAAUAAGAUGAUGAUUCUCUUGCUAUCUCUUUGUCUCUACACUUUAUCCUUCAUCAUUGUCCAAUUACAUGUGCAAUAAAUGAACUUUUUUUAUUAGGUUGAAGGCAACCUUUUUUUUUUUUUUUUUUGUAGGAAAAGGCAAUAAUGUUUGAGAAAGAAGUAUGCUCUUCUUUGUAUCCAAAAGGGGAAAAUACUAGAGAUUUGUCUACCGGUCGUAAGCAACUAAUGAAUGAUCUUAGGAACAUAGAAAUUCCCAAUUUGGAGAUCAUUUUAGGUUCCAUAAUCACAAUUUACACUUCUCCCAAUGAACCUAGCACAGGUAUUUGGCGCAGACAUCAUUUCCGACAAAUUCGAGCUCAAAUACUACUUGCAAUACACUAACUGAACAUAGGCAGUUAAAAUAUAUUGUGAUGGAAUCUUAUAGCUUAGAGGCAUGAGCAGGGACUUUACUCAAGGCAACAGCUGUCUUUGAACCAGAUGAGCGCCCUAAGUGCUUGCAGAUAAAGUCCCCAGCCAACAUGAGCGUUUUAAGAUCUAUGUUGGUCUUCACUCCAAGUCCAUUAAGCAUGUACACAACAUCCUCGGUAGCAACAUUGCCAGACGCACCUUUAGCAUAUGGACAACCCCCAAGACCAGAGACUGAUGAAUCCACUGUGCUGAUGCCCAUCUGCCAACAGGAAAAAUGUCAUUUCAUUCUACCAUCUUAGGAAAAUAGAGAAAGAAAAAAAGAAAAAAAGAAAGAAAAACAAUGAUGCAUUACAAACAGAAACGAAGAAUUGAAGUGCAAGGGGAAAGUUGCAAAUUACAAUGAUCUUGCCAAAAACUACAUAUACUAUCGUACAAUCAUGAACUUAUUCAACAUUCACUCGUUUAAGAAACUAAGAGAAACAACUUUUUAAGUCAUCUGUGAUGUUAGCCAGCACUAGGAUUGAGGAACACACCAAGUUGGCUCAUUUGCCAGAAAUCAGAACCACAGUAAUUUUGUGUAUUCAUAGAAAAAUUAACAGUAAACUACAUCUAGUCUUGCGAUUACAUUUUUGACUUAGUAAUUUACUAGGGAUUCUGUAUUUUAGAGAUUGUAAAUCAUAAAACAAUCAAUAAGGUCUUCAGAACCAAGGAUACAAAACAAAGACAGCAGCUACAUUAGCUUGGCAAAUUCAUCAACGUUUAAAUUCAGUUUAAUGAAUACUCAGCCACUCGUCAAUUACAAUUCAACAUUUUUAGUUUGCAAAACAAAGUCAUAAUUUGCUUAUAAAUGAUCAUGCAACCCAUUAUACGCUAUCACAUUUUUUCAGACCUUAAUUUGUCCAAAAGAGGCUACAAUCAUCAAAAGGUAUGUGAAGUGUAAAUGCCAGUAGAACUAUGAAAAGUAUAAGCUCAUGUCAAUUCUAGGGAGGAUCAUUGAUUUCUUUCUUCAAAUAGGGGAUUCAGAACGGCAUCAUCUGCUUUUUGAUUCAAAAUGACAUGAGUUUUACAUAUUAUUGUGCCCAUCAAUUGACCAUUUCCACUUUCUUAAUAUAUGAUGUUAGGUUUUUGCAUCUUUCUAUGACCUACUAUAUAUGUUUCUUUGUUGAGAUGAAUGGAAAUACUCAUGAAUUCCUGGUUUCAAAUGUUAAAUGAGUGAACCUGUAUUUCUUGGAAUAAAAUAGACAUGCAAAACAGAACCUCUACCCUAGGGUAAUUAUGUUGGUUCUAAUCAUGUCAAAAAUUGCCGCCGUCAUUAGCAAAAGGUAAAAGCUUCCUUUUAAAAUCAAGAUGAAACACAUGGUUACCUGAAGAGAUACUAGUAUGUUUGAAAGAGCUUGGCCAUACGUGUCAUGGAAAUGGACAGCAAGGUUCUCAGCAGGGACCACAUCAAUAACUUCUUUAAGCAUUGGAACAACAGUACCUGAAAAUAAAAAAAAAUUCGAAUCAACUUAACCAAAAAGUGGUACAACUAUCCAAGGUCAGCAUAGUUCAGCCAUGUAUAUAAAUGUCAAAAUAUGUUCCUGUAAGGGGUAUGUCAUAAAUUAGGUUACUACAGUUUCACAUCAUAAGCACAGAUAACCUGGUGCCUGCACAGCAUGCCAUGGUAUCCUGCCAGAGAUUAUUUUCCUACAGCCAAUUAAGCAAUAACUAAACAAUAUUACUUUUCCCUAAGUCAUUACACAUGACUAUGGGCCAGGGGUUCAGUUCGAGAGAAGCUUAAACAGUCAGUUUGGUCUUUUCUAAUAAGCUUCUACAGUAAUUAGAUGACCCGUAGAGGUGCAUAAGCUUCUAGAAUAAUUAGAUGACCCAUAAGAGUUGCUAUUGGUUUAAUAGGUCUGCCAGUCUAUACAUCUAACAGGUCAAAUUCAACGAAUUACAGCAAAACAAGAUGUGUAGUUGAUGGGGUUGGAAGAAGGUAGAAAACUGUUUUCAAAUUAUCAGGGUUGAUAGUUACUCCCACAAUACGUACAACGCCUGUAUUUCCACAUGCGACCAAUUACUGUCUGAAGUUAACCCAGAAAAUAUUCAACACUUUAGAAUACAUACAAAGGCAAAACAGUUACGCCAACGAUAACCAAUGAAAAAGAACAUUUACCUGGAGUACCAACACCAAUUGUAUCACCGAGAGAAAUGUCAAAGCAACCCAUAUCAUAAAGUUCUUUGGCCACAUAAGCUACUUGAGAUGGGGGAACAGCUCCUUCCGUUGGACAGCCCACAACACAUGAUAUAUAUCUACCAAGAUCAUUAAAUGGUUAGAUCAGUUGGAAAUAAUAUCAAGUUACCCCAGGUCCAUAUGCAUUGACCAUGUAGAAAUGAUUAGCAUCUGAAACUCAGACAUUUGUCCCCAGAAAUGCAUGUGAUCAAGAAGUUAAAUAUACCAAACAAUACAAACAAGAAAACGGUGUUAAAAGAAGUCCAAAUUCUUGAAUAAAACUUUGUUUUAAGAUUUUUGGGGUAGGCUGGGAUAGAAAAGUAAUACAAGAAAAAAAUGUAUAAGCUCUGAAACAAUGCUAUUAUUCCACAACAAUAAUUUAACGGUCUUUGAUUGGCUUAGAGUUAAAAGUGAUCACUGGGGGUCUUAUAAGGUAAGAGAAGGAAAGAAGCAAACAUAUCUUCUAUUAGUCCUUUAAAUUUAAGAGAAUCUGAAGAUAAUCAAGAAAAAGUUCAUCGCUUUCUUAUAUUUCAAUCUACAUCCAAUGAAGAUAAGAGAACUCAAAUAGUGUCCAAAACAGAAAAUGUAUUAAAAGAGAUAUACCCACGAACAGGAAUAGAAAGCUUUCUGGCAGCACUUGCAACAUCACGGUAACGUCUGAGACUGUCUUCAAUGCUGCAGUUUAUAUUUGAUUUUGAAAAAGACUCAGAAGCUGAGGCAAAGAUGGCAACUUCUUUUGCACCAGCAUCGACAGCAGCCUCAAAACCCUACAAGAGAGCUUUAUGAAAAAUCAGUUAAGUCCACACAUCCAUUCAAGUUGAGAAACAAUGCUUUCACUAGAAUUUGCUCACUUUGAGAUUGGGGGUUAAAACGGGAAAUCUAGCACCUCCCAUAUUUCGAAUGGCCUCCAUUACAUCCUUUGCAUCUGCCAGCUGAAAUUUCAAGAUCCACAAGACACUAAAGAAUAUUGAUUCCCCAACCAUAAGCCUUGUGCACGUAAGAAAACCAAACUACGAAAAAGUUGGCUAGUGGAGAAACUUAAUUCAAAGAUACUAAAAAGUUGAUUAAAUAAAACCUGUAUUGGUAUCAAGGACACAAAGAAGAUAAAUAUAAGGGAAGUGCAAAAAAAGAAGCUAAAACCAUGAAAUAAAGAAACAAAAGAGCUGGGAAGAAAAAAAACAGAAAUUAAGUGGAACAACUCAGACUUUAAACAACACAAAUGAUACUCAAAACUUCCGUUGGGAACUGAAAUUUGUAUAAUUUGAAGGAGAACAAGUAUAAGUAGAUGAGAACAGAGAAACAAGACAAAAAUGAAUUCUUGUACGAGCUAACUUAAUCAGCGAAUCUAACCUAAAACAGCCACUAAAACUAAAGUAGUAAAUUGUAAAGCUCAAAAUCGAUCAACAGCAGGACAUUGCUCUCAACCAAGAGCAACAGCAGACAGGCUAUCGCUCGAUAAAUUUCCAUGAACACUAAAAUAAUAGAAGAAAAGUAGAUUCCGCCACAACCCAUGAUUAAUGUAGAAAAUCAAUCGACUAGAUGUCUUGAACCAGAUGUAACAAAAUUUCUUGAAUAUAAAUCUCCAGAGACUAGUAUUCUGUUGAAUAAUUAGCUCCCAUUAUGUGAUAUCACUCCUGCAUAUCCCUCUCUGCAGAUAGAGAAAAAAGAGCUAAUGUGUGGUUUACCUGUGGAACCCAUUUGGGUGAGACAAAGCUGGUAGCCUCAACAACAGUGAGGCCAGACGAAACCAGCAUCUGUAUCAACCUAACCUUAACAUGAGUUGGAACAAUCUGCUUCUCAUUCUGGAGUCCAUCCCUCGGACCCACUUCGACUAUCUUGACAAACUCCGGGAUGUUCGCUAAAGCCGGCUACCACAAAGCAAAGCAACCAAGUCAAUCUCAAAUCAGAUUCCAAAACGAAUUGAUCAUGGAUCAUUAGCAACCUUGUUGAUUGAACAACUGAAACCACGGCUUGACAGAUAGCAAGGCUCAAGGAGCAUGUUCAUCAAACGUCUUGAUACCUUAUGCAUCAUCUUCUCCCAGCCUUCUAGACUCUUAUCUCUCACUUUUCAUCUCACCAAAACAAGACAACAUGUCUUCCGUGUUUCAUACGGAUAGUCGCUCACUGUAUAUAUGAUGACUAAUGAAUUGGGUUUUCAUCAAGAAAUUAUGUUUUUAAAUUCUAUUCUGUUUCUGAUGGGUUUGUCAGUAAGGCCCGUUUGCUAUGACUUCGGUUUUUUUUUGUUUUUUUUAAAUCAGUUUUUUUCUGAAAUUUUAGAUUUUAUAGUUUUUUGUAAAUAAAAUUUUAAAAAUUAGAAGUCAUUUAUAACAGCUUUUAAAAUUAAAGAGGUCUUUAGCAGUUACAUUUCUAUAAAAGAAGAUUUUAACAAGAAUAAGCAAACAGAAACGAACACCUUCAUAUCAUUCCCACAUGCAAUUAUGCAAACUAUGUAUUUCACCAUUGAAAUUUGCUAAAAUAAUGUCUUCUUCCGAGUACGUCAAUGUUAUUCGAAAUGCAUAAUCAUUUGUGACAUUUAUUUGUGUUUGGGAUCACAAUCAGGGGAAUCCCCCCUCCCUCCCUCCCUUAGUCGCAGAUAUGCCAUAACACCUUAAACGUAUCACCCUACUCCAUUUCAGCCAAUGCACCUGAGUUACUUUUUUUUUUUUUUUGACAAGUAGUAACCAACUUUAUUCAAGAUGCAAAUAUUACAGAGGCACAAAGCCUCCCAAGGGUUACAGAGAAAGCCCAAAAUAUACAACCAAGCACAAAGAAACAGAGAUCUACAACAUUCGACACGGAGGAAGAUGCCACCGUACCAACUCAAGGAAGAAGCCGAACAACCAAAUCAAAAGCGUAGAAUAGAGACCCAUGCAAGUUCCAAAAUUCCAACCAUCAAAUUCCCAGAAAUUAAAACAGCCAUCACCUCGACCAUAACAGACCAAACCUGCCAAGAAUAGAGAAUCCAUAACAUCGUGACCAUGGCGAAGAGGAUAGGUGAAAUCCCGUGAAGGAAAGAAACAGGCACCAGGAGGUACACAUCUUCUUGAAGCAUCACCCUAUGCAAUAAUGAGCAGACCUCAUUUUGAGAAGCACCUAUAAGAACAGAUGCGCAACUGUUCGAUCUCCAAAAGAGAGGGACGAGUUGGGACCAAUCAGAUUCAAAAGAAUCCGACCGGGGAGGAUUGCCGAUCAUGGCAGAAGAGAACCCAUCAAGGAAAAGUCGAUGAAAGUAGUGAUAACCGGAAAAUCGAUGCUCUGGAACCAUCAAAACCAACGAGGCCCAAGACGGGCUCCAAGAGGCGCAGCCCGAAACGGCGGGAAGAGUAAAGAAAAGACAGCCGAAAAGCAUACAAACAACCCUCAAGAAGAGGGAAAAUUGGAGUUUUAUCUCUCCCCCAACUCCCAAGCCAUAAAUCCAGAUCGGCGAUCUAGAUCGGGCAUGGGAGAGGAAGAGAGGAAGAAACCCAGACAGGUCGGUUUGGAAGAGAGAAGGCGGAGAAAAUUUUUAGAGAGAAAAGAAAGGUUGAGUUUGGUAAAGAUCCACCCGAGUUACUUGGCCGACCAAUUAACUAGUCUUUUGCAACAGAUUUUGGAGCUCUACUCAUCCUUGCAUAAAAUUUCACUAACCGAAUAGAGAGAGCUACCAUAGAUAUUAUGGAAACAUUAUUAUAGCUUAAAGACAUGAACUAUGAACUUUAUUCAAGGCAAUGGCUGUCUUUGAACAAGAUGAGCGCCCCAAGUGUUUGCAGAUAAAGUCCCCAGCCAACAUGAGCUUCUGAAGAUCGACGUUGGUCUUCACUCCAAGUCCAUUAAGCAUGUACACAACAUCCUCGGUGGCAACAUUACCAGAAGCACCUUUAGCAUAUGGACAACCCCCAAGACCAGAGACUGAUGAAUCCACUGUGCUGAUGCCCAUCUGCCAACAUGAAAAAACAAAUUGUCAUUUCAUUCUACCGUCUUAGGAAAAAUAACCUGAAAUUUAAGUUCAACACUUGUCAUUCUUACUGUCAUGUCAUGCAUUACAUUUCAAAAAAAAACAGGAGAAGAAACUAAAAACAGAACACAAUGACACCUUGAAAACAGAAAAGACAUUCAGGCAAACAAAAACCUGAAAUGCAGGGGAUGACGUUGCAAACUGCAAUCAGCUAGGCAAAAAUUUUAUUUGAAUCAUACAACAUAACCUAUUCUAAGUUUGCUCAAUUAGGAGACUAAGAGAACCCACUCAUAUUAUGAAUUUAGCCAAGAUUAGGACAAAGAAACAUAGCAAGUUGGCACAUUUUUAACAGUAAGAAACUCAGAAACAUGAUAGCUUUGGCUCUGUGUAUUCAUAGAAAGAAUUUGAUGGCAAAGAAAAACAUUAAUGGUAUACUAGAUUGCAAUCCAUCAAGACAUUCUUCCAUUAAUAAUCUACCAGGUAUUCUGUGGCUCAUAAACUGUUUUUAAAACAAUCAAUAAGGUCUUCCGCAUCAUCCAUCAGAUGGUCAAUUCAUUAAUGUCCAACUUCAAUCAGUGAAUACUCAGCCAUCCCAAUUACAAUUGAAAAUUAUUAAUUUGUAAAAAUCCGUCACGAUAUUGCUUAAUAAUAAUGAACGUGAACCUCUAAUGGAACCAUCAGAUUGUUUUGGACCUGAGUUUGUACAAAACAUACUAUAAGCAUAAGGUAGUGGAGUGUAUACAAGCCCACCGAUAGAACUUUGAAACUUAUAAACUCAAAUUACAUUUGAGAGGAUCUUUGAUUUCUCUCUUCGCAGGGGAUUCACAAGCAGCUUUAUGUGCUUUUUGAUUCAAAAUGACAUGACUUCAUAAUAUUUAAGCCCAUCAAUGACCUUUUCAGUUUCCUAUAUUAACAAGUUAGGCUCAUUUGGCCAUUUUUAUGACCCUCUUUAAAUGUUUCUUAGUUGAAAUGAACGCAAUUACUCAUAGGCUCAAAACCUUACUUAACAGAAUGCUGUUUCUGUCUAAUAUGGUUGUCACAUUACGAAGUAAACAUUAUUUCAGUGAUAUCGUGAAGGAAAAAAAACUCACAGUAGGUUAAUUGUGAUGGUCUGAUUCAUGUCAAAAGUUACCAUUUACUUGCAUAGGGUAAGAGAUUCCAUGCUAAAAUCAAGACGCAGAUCAUGGUUACCUGAAGAGAUACUAGUAUAUUUGAAAGAGCUUGGCCAUAAGUGUCAUGGAAAUGGACAGCAAGCUUUUCAGUGGGGACUACAUCAAUCACCUCUUCAAGCAUUGGAACAAUGGUACCUGAAAAGGAAAAAAAAAUAAAACAGCUUAACAAACAUGAGAAAUGAUAAAACUAUCCAUCAUCUGCAGAGUUCAACCAAAUAGACAGAUGUUUAAUAAUGUUCCAAUAAAAUAUAUCACAUAUUAGGUUACGACAGUCCCGCAUCUUAGAAGACAGUCAAUGCACAAUACGGCUACGCAGCAUGCCAGACUACAUGGAAAUUUUCCUACAACCGACUAAGCAAUAACUACAGAAUAGUAACUUUCCCCAAGUCAUUAGACAAGAUUGUGCAUCAGGAACCGACUACGAAAGAAAGCGAGAGUAGACAGUUAUGCAUUUUCAAAUAAGCUUCCACAGUAUUUCGAUAGAACAAAGAUGUGAUGCUUAUGGUACAUAGUGCUGUAGUGAAGCUAAAUUUCAAUGCUCGAUCAAUUGUAAGGAUUGGCUAUGGAGGACCAAACAGGUAUAAAAGGCAGAGUAAAAUGGUUUAGCCUUGUCAAAAUGCAACCUCACAUAUCACUGAACUAAUUUAUUCUUUUUUCAGUAAGAGGAACCAUUUGUAUUGAAAACAAAGAAACACAACUGUCAGAUAUUAGGUAGAGCCGUAGAUGUACAGUCUCUCUUUCUCUUCCUCUCCUUCCCUUCCACAGCCCUCGCAGCUCCCAUCCACAUCCUGUAUCAUCUCCCUUCCCCUACACUGCCACUCACUGUACUCCUUCCCCUAACAUCUGUCCAUCUUUCCAUCAAUUCCAGAUUUAUUUCUGGGUCAUUAGUGGAAAUUUCUUUCUCUUCAGCCUUGUAAGAAGAUCCAGAACUGCUAGGGUCCUAACGUUAAAACUUUUGGCAUGGAUUGUGGAGCAUAGCACCUAACGACGUGCAGUAGAGUACAAACGGAAUGAUCUUGGGAUGUUUGUCUCCCCAUUGUUGCACUUUUUUUUUUUUUUGUAACAAUAAGGGGACACGUCUUACUCCUAUGCUCUGGCACUGCCCAAUCAUAGGUUAAGAUAACAUAUGUGCCGGGUACGAAUGCAACCGCGAAAGAAUAUGGAUUUGCCUGGUUUACACCAAUCUGGGCCACACCCACAGGAAAGGACAAUGAUCACUAAAAUAAAAGUAGAUUACCAGUAAAGAACUAAUAGGUUCUUGCAAUCACCGUAUCUUGAAGCAGUGGAAAACAACUCCAACAGAGGCCUAAACUCACAGGAUGACAAACUCUCACCUCUAAAACUGCCUCAAGAUAUUGUCUAAAACGUUCAAAAGUCGGAAACAGGCUAAAGCACAAGAUUCUAGACCUUAUUCUCAAAAUCGAAAUAAAAAUCCCUAAAAGUGCUAUAGCUAAUAGGUCUAUCCAACGUGUUAGAGGAAUGUAAGAUGUGUAGUUAUACAGUUGGAAGGAAGUAGAAGAAUUAUUUUCAGAUUAUAAAGGGCGGAAGAGUCGGUCCUAGAAUACAAACAGCAUCUUGUACUUCCUGAUGCAACCAAUAACUGUCUGAAAACCAGUUAACACGGAUCAUGAGCAUACAAGGCUUUAGAAUAAAUUCAAUACAAAAAAUAGUUGAACCGAAAAGAACAUUUACCCGGAGUACCAACACCAAUUGUAUCGCCAAGAGAAAUGUCAAAGCAACCCAUAUCUAAAAGUUCUUUGGCCACAUAUGCUACUUGAGAAGGGGGUACGGCUCCUUGUAUUGGACACCCCACAACACGCGAUAUAUAUCUAACAAGAUCAUUAAAUGGUUCCAUCAGUUGGAAAUAAUAUCAUGUUACCCCUGCUUCAUAUGCAUUAACCAUCUCAGAUGAAUAGCAUCUCACACUCAGACAUUUGUAAGAGUACAUGAUGUCAACAAGUUAAAUAUCUCAAACAAUACAAACAAAGAAAAAGACCUAUAAGAAGUAAAACUUCUCAAGGAUUUCUUUUUUAGGAAAAUUUUAGACAUGGUGGGAGUAGAAAGAAAAAUACACGAAAAAAGUUUGUAAGCAAUCUCAAACAAUGUCAUUGCUGCAGAAAAAAAAAUAUAUAUAUAUAUAUAUAAAAUAAAAAAAAUAAAAAAAGAAACUGAACGGUCUAAUUGAUCGUUGAUGGGAUUAGAGUUAAAAGUCAAUCACUGGGGAAAAAUAACAAAUGUGCUAACAAGUGGUCCGAUUAUUUUCUUUUUCAACAAAAAACAGGCAGACAAUAAAAUUUUCAAUAGUCCCUAAACAGGUGAAAAAAAAAAAAGAAAAAGAAAAAAGGGACAAGUCAGAGGGUGGAGAGGGAUUUAAGAAAAACUAAGUAUAAUUUGAAAUGAUUGAUGAUAAGAGAAACCACAUAGUGUCCAAAACAACCAAAGAUGUCAGAAGAGAUAUACCCUCGAACAGGAAUACAAAGCUUUCUUGCAGCAAUAGCAACAUCACGGUAACGUCUGAGACUGUCUUCAAUACUACAAUUUAUAUUUGAUUUUGAGAAAGACUCAGAAGCUGAGGCAAAGAUGGCAACUUCCUUUGCACCAGCAGCAACAGCGGCCUCGAAACCCUACAAGAAGCUUCACAAAAUAAGAGUUAAGUCCUCACAUCCAUUUGAGAUUCUUUCACUAGAAAAUGCUUACUUUGAGAUUAGGAGUUAAAACAGGAAAUCUAACACCUCCCAUAUUCCGAAUCGCUUUCAUUACAUCCUUUGCAUCUGCCAGCUGAAACUUAAAGAUCAGAAAGAUACCAUACAUGUUAUAAAUGCAGCAAUCAUAAAGUAUUAUACCGAAUUGUGAAAGAGAUAUCCAGUGAAGAAACUUAAUUCAAAAACACCAACAAACUUUUUUUUCCCUAUAUAUAGAUGAAGCUUAUAUUGGUUACAAGGGCACAGAGACAAGAAAUUACAAAAGAAGAGCGAAGAAAAAAAAAAGUUGAGAUUCACAAAGAAGCAGAAGAUAUCAAGUAACUCAGACUUUAAUCUACACAAAACAGAUACUCAAAACUUUCUUUGAGCAGUGAGAUUUGUAUUAUUUCAGGGAGCAAGUAUAACUAUGUAAGAAAGUAAAACCAGAGAGAAAGAAAACAAAGUUGAAAACUUAUAGAAGCUAACUUACAGAAAUCAACUAGAUGCCAUAAACCACAUGCAAAGAAAACUGCUUCUAUUUAGAAUAUCUAGAAACUAGAAUUCCGUUCAACAAUGAGCUUAUAAAGGAAUGAAUCUUGUAUCUUGAUUUUCUAAUAUGAAUAUCAGUUACAAUAAGCAUGAAUAGAGAUUCAAGCCAGGGCUAAUUUAGUAAAUAUAAAGUAAUAAACCGACUCAAAGACAUGGAAACGUAUUAGACAACUAAUGUAAUGUUGUGUCUGUAUUAUACAUACACACAAUUUACAUUCUCAGCAUAUCACCAUUUCUUCUCCUUUGUCAUGGCUUAGCUCUUACCAUACAAGUUGAAUUAAUAUACAAUAUUGUCUGGCGGGUUAACUGGCUCAUAUUGACACCUUUAAAUUCUUCUAUAACUCUAGUAAACCCUUUCUUGCGCCAAAGCUGACAACAUCAUUACAAACCCUUUCAUACCUUCAUAAUCUAUAUAAAGCCCUCAUAAGCAAGUAUGCACAAUGUUCUAUACAACUAGUACACCGCAGUAAAAUUACAUAUUGUUAGUUAAAUAAAAACCUUCCCAGAUUAUACAGGAUAUAUUGCGACACAAUUUCCAACACAUUCUAGCCUCAAGUAACUACAAACUUUGGCUACAAUGUAAAUUGAAUGUAUACCUGUGGAAUCCAUUUGGGUGAGACAAAACUUGUAGCCUCGACAACAGUGAGUCCGGACGAAACCAGCAUUUCUAUCAACUUAAUCUUAACAUGAGUAGGAAUAACCUGCUUCUCGUUCUGCAGCCCAUCCCUGGGACCGACUUCUACUAUCUUGACAAACUCGGGAAUCUUUCCUAAUGCCAGCUGGACAUGAUCAAAGCAACUAAGUAGUACUAAACAUGCAUUCAAUCACAUAUGGAAGAAGCUAAGAGGAAACCUUAUUAUUGGUUGAAGAGAAAGCCCCCGAAACUGCUCCAUUAUUCCUCCUCAUAAGUCUUGAUGCCUUGAAUUGAAUCAGCAACCCACUCGGCCUCCGCAAACGUUGCAUUGUAUGUAUGUAUCUUCACAUCAAAAUCCUCCUCGUGUUUUGGCCUCACCUACCUAGGCAUUAAAUGACCCACAUGACACCUGUCUUUUCUUUUCUUUCCCUUUUUGCCAUGUUUCUCAUGGAAUCGAGAUUUCGUUACAGGUCGAUUCCAUCAUAUUCUCUGUUUCCUGAUAUGAAAAUGUUCUACAAUUACUCUGACUGAAAAUAAUGGCAAAAGUGCAAAGACCAUGAUUUUGAAGGAUGACGGGCCAUUUUCAUAGUUUUGAAUUGUGUGCGAGGGAAAGAAGAACCAGAACAAAAAAAGGAAGAAAGAACAAAACCGGGUCGCAAUGGAGGAAAAGAAGAACAGAGAAGGAGAACGACUGAAAUGGAUAAGAGUUUAGGGUAGAAAAGAAACGACAACAUUAGUGUGUGUACUGUGAAUUUAGGUUCGAUUAACUGGAUAAGUUAUUUUCGUCCGAUUAAAUUUCAUUGAAGAUAAAUUUUAUUAACAAAUCCUUAAAUACUAGAUACGGAUCUCAUACUUAUACACCACCUACUAGCUUUGUUGUUUUUAAAAUUUUACUAGAAACACAUCCCAAAACUUCCUAAACUAUUCUCAUUGACAAUACACAACUUAUUCACGAAAUACUCAACUCAUUUCUAAAUCAGCUAGUUCAGCUUGGGGGUUUACAAAAAUACAAUAACAAAAUGCAUGAACAUUCAGAACAUUUCAAGAGAUUGUUAUUUUAUAUCAAAAGGACUAGCUAGUUGUGUUCAAACUUGAAUACUUCAUGACGACCUAGCGUGAAGAGUGAUUUGCCCACCACUUCAACAUUUACAAUUUAUAUAAUGUAUAGAAAAAUCUGAUGAGUUAUCUAUGACAUUCAAUUAUAAACAAUUUUGUCUCAAUCCAGAGUAGACUUAUAUAUAUACCUAUCCAACGAGGGAGAAAUUUUUUUGUCACUUUUAGGGAUACGCCCACUCCAUUAUAUCUGUUAAUUAAUGGGCUUGGUUGACUGAAAUUAAAACAAAAACUUUAACACUUAUGUCAAACCUACACCGUUCAAGAUCAUUAAAAAUAAAUCAAACAUUUAGAUGACUUAACGAUCACCAAAUUUUACAGAGGCAGACGUCCGCAUCGCCCUUAAAGUGCGAACCUUGCCGAUUUUCCACCUUCAGGCGUCAUCACGCAGUUUCUUCUUGCCGGACGGACAAUAGACCUUGAUACGGAGCUUCUUCUCGCCGGCGGACUCACCGGCUAAAAAUUUGCAGCCAACCUUGAUUGAUCUUGAAGUUUUGGGUGAGGUUUUUGCGCGCCCAGACCUUCAAUCCUGAUCUUCUUCUUCAUGGUAACGCCGGCUGGGAUGCCUCUGGUGUUCAUCCGGCAAGCGCAGCCUCGUCGUUGACACCUAAAGGUGGAGAAAUCGGCGAUGUCCGCACUUUAAGGGCGGGACGGACGUCCGCUUCUGAAUCCCUAUAUAUAUAUACAGCCCUUCUCAGCUGCGGACGUCUACACCAAUGGUUUUGGUGCGGAUUUCCAUUUUCGCACCACUUUCGAUCGAAUUUCCUCAACUCCACCGUCUAGUAUCUAGAUAAUAUUAUGUAGAUCAUCUCUGCAAAAUUUCAGCCAAUUUGGUGAUCGUUAAGGCCCUCAAAAUUGGGUUUUUCUGGUAUAAACAUGAACCGGACAGAAUUCAGUCCGUCCAUUUGUUUUUCGAGUUUGAGGGCCUUAACGAUUACCAAAUUGGCUGAAAUUUUGCAGAGAUGAUAUACACAAUAUUAUCUAGAUACUAGACGGUGGAGAUGAGGAAAUUCGAUCGAAAAAUGGUGCAAAAAUGGAAAUCCGCACCAAAACCAUUGGUUCGGACGUCCGCAGCUGAGAAAAAUCCUACACACACACACACACACAGAGUUCCAUUCUAGAGCGGAAACUUUGAGAUUAAAGUGUAGUGCUCCUCAUGUCGCUCACUUUUAGGUCACAUUUUCAUAUCUCCACCGUUCAGUGUCUAGAACAUAGUCUGUAGAUCAUUCCUGCAAAGUUUCAUCCAAUUUGAAGAUAGUUUGAGCUUCCGUAAUUGUGAUUUACGCGGACGGUUCCAUUUAGACAAAUUUUGUUCAUUUGAUUCAUUUAAUCUAAUUUGGUACCCAAAUGAUCUCCAAAUUGGAUGAAACGUUGCAGGAAUGAUCUACAUACUAUGUUCUAGACACUGAACGGUGGAGAUGUGAAAAUGUGACCUAAAAGUGAGCGAAAUGAGGAGCACCACAUUUUAAUUUCAAAGCGGUGUGUGAAUAAAAUUUCUCUUAAUAGAAAUAAAAAAUUAUUGUCUUUCUAUAAAUCAGAAGUUUCCGGUUCAAGAGACAUCAAAUUUGACACAAAUUUUGACACUAUUUAUUGGCCAUUAGAUAUUAAAAUAUUCAGCGGUCUAUAUCAAUUCUAAAUAUGAUGUCAAUAUAUAACUAAUUGAUGUGGCAUGUGACGUGGCAUUAUAAAAUUUCAUAACAAAUCAAAUUAAAAUAAAAGAAGGAAAAUUCAAAAUUUAGAAUCUAGAAAACAAAAUCCAAUUUGCUCGAUAACAAGGAAAAAAACGAUAGAACCCCAAAGACGCAGAAGAACACAGACUAAAAAGAAAAAGAAAAAAAGAGGAGCAAAGAACCGAUUUGUAAUAUAACACAGAUUAAAGACGUACAUUAAUAUAGACAAUGGUUGACAAGGUUUCUGUACUAGCUUCUCAUGUUAGAGUAGUAUUGGUAUUCAUGUCAAUUAUGAAAACAUUGCCUCUCAUGUUGUUAGGACCCACCCCAGAAUUCAUCCUGAAAUCCGAAAUAAACUCAGCAGGGACCACCUUCAAAGGAGAUGCUACCGAAAAUUUGGCAUAAUCUCCCUUGAAAAUGGAUAACCCUUCCUAAAAACACCUGCACACACGUCAUAAAAUCAAACUCCAACCUUAUACUCCUAGAGCCUUCGUGCUCUCCAAUUUCUCAACACCUCCCAAGUUAUUUACUAAUCUAAAAAAAAAAAAUCCCAUAAUCAACAAUUCAUAGGUUCAGAGACAAGAACAGGGAUAAGCGUGGCCCGUGGAUCACUAUUGUACCAAUACUGUCCCAACUUAACCACCUUUAAGGUGUUGAGUUUUAAUCACAAAAUGUCUCAGUACAAUUAAGUGUGGCCAUCCACUUAUAAGUUGUAUUUAAUUUAUCCAUUUUCUGAUGUGAGAUCUUUCCUCUCCAACACUCCCCCUCACGUGCAACCAAAGUUUUUUAGGUCUGCACGUGGAAUUCAUUCAGUCCAAUUCCCACAUCGGAAAUCGAUAAUGGUUCGGUCCAAGGCCCACUACAAGCACUUAGUAUGGUAUGGGUCAAUCGGAAUUUUUCCGAUGGCAAUUCGAUGAACCCAAAUCUGGGCUCAUUAUGCUGGGAGACUUUCUCCGGUUACGCUAGGAGACAUAAUUGAAGAGGGACCCGCUCUAAUACCAACUAGAACAUGGACAAACAAGACCCGUGGAUCACCAUUGUACCGAUAAUGUCCCAACUUAACCACUUUUAAGGUGUUGGGUUUUAAUCACAAAACGCCUCGGUACAAUUAAGUGUGAUCUAUCCACUUAUAAGUUGUAUUUUAUUUAUCCCUUUUCUGAUAUGGGAUCUUUCCUCUCCAACAACAAGCCUUUUCCAGGUGCCAUCUUUUCAAACAACAAGCCUUUUCCAGCUGUCAUCUAAAGAUACUUCAGAAUACGAUACACUGCAUCCAUAUGCUCUUCACUGGGACUAUGCAUAAAUUGACUAACCACACUCACAGCAUAAGCAAUAUCAGGUCUAGUAUGAGAAAGAUAAAUAAGUCUCCCUACUAGACGUUGGUACCUUCGUUUAUCAGUUGGAACUUGAUUUGGAUAGAUGGCAAGGUUGUGAUUCAUCUCAAUUAGUGUCUCAACAGGCUUGCAGUUAAGCAUUUCGGUUUCAGCUAACAAGUCAAGUACAUACUUACGCUGGGAUAAAGAAAUCCCAUUCUUUGACCUUGCAACUUCAAUUCCGAGAAAAUAUUGUCCAAGGUCCUUCAUCUCAAACUCUUUUAAAAGAUACUUUUGUAGACCCUCCAUCUCCUUUAGGUCAUCUCUUGUAACAAUCAUCUCAUCAACAUACACAAUCAGAGCGGUGAUCUUACCCAGAUUACACUUGGUGAACAAAGUGUGAUUCGAGUUGCUUUGUCUAUAACCAAAUAUUUUCAUUGAUUUGGAAAAUCUUCCAAACCAAACUCUAGGAGACUGCUUCAAACCAUACAGAGACUUCUUCAACUUACAAACCUUUCCGACAUCGCAAGGUCUACAUUUGACCCCUGAGGGCAUGUCCAUAUACACCUCUUCUUCCAAGUUUCCAUUGAGAAAAAUAUUAUUCACAUCAAACUGUCGUAGAGGCCAAUCUUUAGUUGCCGCAAGUGAAAUCAAGAUUCGAAAAGUGUUGAUCUUUGCUACAAGCGCAAACGUUUCUUCAUAAUCAAUGUCAUACCAUUGGGUGUAUCCAUUGGCAACCAACCGUACUUUAUACCUGUCAACGCUCCGAUCUGCUUUCAACUUUAUGGUGAAUACCCAACGGCAUCCAACGGUCUUCUUUCAAGCUGGUUUAGGCACAAUAUCCUAAGUAGAGUUUUUCUGUAAUGCCUCUAAUUCUUCGUUCAUCGCCUGAGUCCACUUGGGAUCUGUCAUUGCAUCAUGUACAAUACUAGGAAUAGAAACACUGGAUAAUUCAUUAAUGACAAGAGCAUGUGACCCAGCUAACCUAUGGUUAGACAUGUAAUUAGCUAUAGGAUAUUUAGCUUUGGCUUUGAUGUCUGGUUCAUAUUGUUUCUUUGGAAUACCCUUGGUAACCCUAUGUGAUUUCCUAGUUACAAUAUUAUCUAUCCCAUAUAAUUGGUUUGAAUUUAAAAGUACAUGAGUAGGGACAUUUGCAGUAGAUUCUUGGAUUGAUGGUGUAGAGAAAGGGAAACUAUCUGACCCAGAAGAAUUUGGAAUUACAGGGACGACAUCUGAAGGCUCAGCAGUUAAAUUGAUGGGUUUGUCGUGUGGGUCCCCUUGUAAAGUCGUUGUUUUGUUUCUACCGACACCAUCUGCAGCACAAGGUGUGUCAACUAGUGGCUGCACGACACGUGGCGAGUUCAGAGUGCCUUCCAGCUGUGGUCCAACACAUGUGCCGCCGUCCUCCUCAAAAUGCACAACACAUGGCGCCUGUGUCAAUGUCAGCAGCUUCUGUCUCUUUGUCCUUCUCUUGCGUCUCUUUGUUAUUUGUGGUUUCUCCGACUCUAAAUCUCGACUCCAAUGCUACUAAUUCUUCAAAUUCUUCGAAUUCAAAUAAAUUUCGGGAAUUCCCUUCAUAUGCUCUCUCCCCGUGAAGGAAGACUCUAAUACUCCCUCUGAGUAGUAAGGCUCAAAUUCGCGAAAAGAAACAUGAAGGGAUACAUGCAUGGUGUCUGUAAAAGGAUCAUAACAUCUAUAUCCUUUCUAAAAAUUUUCAUAACCCACAAAAAUACACUUCCUUGCACGGGGAUCAAGCUUACUUCGUUGUGGUUUUGGAAUAUGAACAUACACUCUACAUCCAAAUACACGAGGCUCCAAGUUAGGUAACAAAGGAAUCGAGAUAAGUUUUUGAAGUUGUUGUAGAAGGUUUUGACAUUCAAUAACCCGAGAAGGGGUAUGAUUAAGGAGGUAGGCAGCACAUGUCACAGCUUCUCCCUAAUAUUCUACAGGUACAUUAAUGCCAAACAAAGACACAUGGACAACUUUAAGCAACUGCCGAUUUUUCCUCUUUGUCAAUCCAUUUUGCUGAGGAGCAUAAGUAUUUGAAGUAUGAUGUUGAAUUCCAUGUAACUGCAUAAACUCUUGCAUAAGACCGUUAAUAUAUUCUCAGCCAUUGUCAGAUUGGAAAACUCGAACCACUUGUUGAUAUUGUGUGGACACCAUCUUGUGAAAUUCUUUGAAUCUACAAUAAACAUCGCUCUUGUUCUUCAAUAGAGACACCCAAGUCGUACGGGCACAAUCAUCAAUAAAUGUCACAAAAUACCGGGCACCAGAGAAAGAAAGAAUUUCUACAGGACCCCACACGUCAGAGUGAAUCUUCAAAAAUGGAACAUGACUUUUAUUUAGGCUUGGUGAAUAUGAAAUCCGGUGGCUCUUGCCCAGUUCACAUAUGUCACAAUGAAAAUCUGAAUAGUCGACACCCGAAAAUAAUUGCGGUUGCAGCUUCUCAAGAUAACUGAAGUUUAGAUGACCUAACCUGCGGUGCCAAAGCCAAACAUCUUUCUUAGUACUCUUAGCUCUAUUGACCUGAUUAGCUUGACCCAAAGACUGCAUAUGUUUCACUCCUGUCUCUCUCAGAUCUAGGUAGUACAAUUUCCCUUUUCUCACUCCAUAACCCAAAAUCCGUCGUGUCAGAAUGUCCUGAAAUACAUAGAAAGACAGAUAAAAGGUGACAAUACAUGAUAAUUCUUAAAUGAUUUGUCCAAUUGAGAGAAGAUUGUAUGACAAUGAAAGGACGACUAAUACAGAAUCAAGGGUUAAUGUGUUUGAUAAGACAAUAGAGCCUUCUCCGGUAACCGGAGUUGGAGUACCAUCAAUGGUAGAAACAAUAUUUUGAGAGGGUUUUAAUUUUUUCAAGAGGCUAGGAUCAUUACACAUGUGAUCUGAUGCUCCUGUAUCAAUAAUCCAAGACCUAUUCAUACAUACCUUACCACUCAUACCUGACUGUGCGACAUUGGAGGCAUUGGAUGGUUGGUCUUCCUCUGUAGUUGUUAUGACAGCUUUUACUUGAAUCUUUCAGGGUUUUAGGGUGAAAUCCCACCAAUCCAGAUACCCAAUUGUUUCAAAGCAACGUUGCUUGCUAUGACCUAGUACUCCACAUAGUGGACAUUUUGAGUUCGCAUAUGAAUUUGGUUUACAUGGAGAUCGGCAUGGUGCGAUGGUAUGGUAGUUGAUUUUGUGUGCCAUUUUGGAGGUUUGGUUUUUGAGAUUCAAGGAUUCAGGAAUUAUGAUUUUGAUGUAUGCAACAAUUUGUUUGUGGUUUGAUUCGGGAUUUAGGUUUGGUUUUGGGAUUUGGGAAUUUGUGUGUAAUUUGUGGGGGUUUUUGGUACGCAGUGAUUUGUGGUGUUUUGGGUGUAAAUUCAAAAGAUCGAACCUGACAAGCUCUAAUGCCAAGUAGAAAAUAAUGUUCAAUAUGGUUUGAUAUGUUUCAAUGUAUAUUCUUUUUCAUAUAGGAGGUUUAUAUAGAGAUACAAUUGUAGUGCUAAUAGGAAAAUAUUUCCUACACCUAUAAAUAAUAUUUAACCUACACAUAUAAGGAAAAUAAAUAUUUACAAAUAUUCUACACAGAGCAACUCUAAUAAGGAAGAAAGGAAACAAAAAUACAAAUAAGCGGAAGCUAUAUUAUGGACUAUGCCUCCACUCCAUGAACGCCCGACCUCAACUAAGCUAACCUGCAAGCUGGACAUUUCAAAUCGAAUGGCCCAGGAGAGAAGCAUUUGAAAAAACGUACAAUUAAAUAAAACUUUAUGCUUUCCCAAAUUUAAUCUCUUUAGAAAAAUCAUGAUGCAUGCAACUAAGUAAAGCUCUUGUCCUAGAGAAAAUUGACAAAAAAAGAAAUACGUGACUAGCUCCGCUAGUCUCCAACACUAUAAGAUAUUGAGUCUCUCAGGCUCUAGUAUAUAAGUAUGUAUUUACACAUGUGAUAUCCAUGUAAAAUUUUUUGUGAAAUUAAAAAUUCAUACAGGACUACUACGCAUGCAUCCCACGCUCUCAUCACACUAGUGGUGGGGUUUAAUCGCUACAUCAUUAUGGCGGAAAAAACGGGUGUAUAUAUGUGCUGAAUACCCCCUAUAUGAAUUCCUACAUUUAUAUAGAGCUACGACGUUUGCAUCCCACACUCAUGUCACACCAUAAUGGCGGCUAAUUGCUACACCAUUAUAGCGGAAAAAAACAUAUGGCUAACUAGCCUUUAUAUACAUACUCUCCUCAUAAGUAUACAUAUAUGUCUACCGAAAAUCCCAUUUUCGGUAACUCUCCAAAUUAAAGAAAAUUGUCAAAUAUAAAAGAAAGCAAUAUGCAUACGACUCCACAGAAAACCCCAUUUUCAAUGACUUUCUUAAAAUAAUAAUAAAAAUUACCAAUUUAAAAAUGACGCCAUAUACUCUAAUAAAAAGAAACUGUUCAACAACAAUCCAUUGCAUGCAUAUAAUUUAAAACAAAAGUCCACUCACAGAUUAAGCCUAGCCUCACAAUGCUCGGGACACUCCUCAAACGCUGCCUCCAAACAUCCAAAUCCUCGAAUCAAACUCACGCCUGAAGAUAAGCUGUAGGACAAAUAAGUCAGACCGUACCGCGAACAACCAUUGACUCAACGUCUAUCCUAGUUUAACUAGGGUUCCUGGGUUGACCAGGAUUGACUAAGUUUGACCAACUGACUUAAGGUUGACCAAUUAACGGUCUUUCGACGUUUAACAACUUAACCUAUAACUUAACGAUUUGAGUCAUUUUCACUAAACGUCCUACUAACCGUUAAACAUUUAGGCGUCGCAUAAUAAUUCACAUAUCACUAAGGACACCCAACCUUUACGCUUAAAAGAUCGGUUUGGUAACCUUCGGUUUCGAUUAAUCAAACUAGUGUAAUUUCAAGGACUCAAACAUACGGAAAACAUUAAUCUGGAAAACCCACUGAAUUACUAAGGGCACCCAAAAGAGUUUCCAUAAAUAGGAAGUUUCCAGAAAGGGAAAGUUUCCAAAGUAGAAACUUUCCUAAAAUAGCAGAUUUCUUGACAAUAAUCCAACUGACCCAUUUUCAAUACUACGACUUGAAUUGGAAAGGAUGCUUGAAAACUACCUUCUCGGCUAGGGGUGGGUAUAAAAAACCUAAAUCCCGGUCCCGUCCCGGUCACGUCCUGAAAUUGGACAGGAUGGGACGGGAUCUAUGUCUAAAAACACUAGGCCCGUCCUGUCCCGUCCCAUAGAGAAACAACGGGACGGGACGUGGGACUGAAAAGUUGAGGCCCGUCAGGCCCGUCCCGUCCCGAGUAAAAUAUAGAGUACUCUCAGCCAUUGAUUUUUUUUAGAUAUUUUGAUCUCAACCUUUGAUUUUUUAACCCUAAUACAAACUCUCUGUCACUCUUUCACUCUCUCAGCCUCUCACUCUAUCACUCUCUUCAGUCUUCACUCUUCAGUCUCUUGCAGUCGCGUGAACCCAACGCUCUUUCAAUCCGCUUCCUCCUCGGUCCUCACUCUCUCAGUCUCUCUUUCAAACUUCUCCACCGCUCGCUUCCUCCUCCUCAGCUUCCUCCUCGACGCCUGCUUCCUCCGCCUCCGCAUCUCACCACCCGAUUCCUCCUCCUCCGCUUCCUCCUCGGCGCUUGCUUCCUCCUCCACUUCCUCCUCACGAACUACAACCAACGACGAGGCAACCCCAAUCUUCCUAGGACCAGCGUGACUUCUCGGAGCAGCAGCAACAAGCACCGUGCCUCCUCCUCCUCCGCCGCUUCCUCCAUCAGGCAAGAUUGUUCCCUCUCUCAUGCUUUUAAGCUUCACAGUGCACCCAAUUCUAUAGCUCUACUCCUAAUUUCACUGAAACUCAUGAAUCAAAUCCAUUAUUUUUCUCACAGUGUUUGCUUCGGUCUAGCUCGCUGCUUGUUUUGAUUGUUUUUUUAUUAGGAUGGUUGCGAUCAAAUUUAGGCAUUGAGCGAUGUAGUGGAAGUGAGAUUUGGAUACUUGAUAUUGAGUGUUAUGGCAAUCGUUAAAGAGAAAUCUAUCAUUGGUUAGAGAAAUCAUCAGGCAAGAUCAUUAGUUUAGACGCAAAUAGUUUAUAUGAAUUAGUUAUACUGUUGCAACCGGUAUUGUCAUCGAUGAUUAGAGUUAAAAUUGUUUGUAUUUGGAGUAGCUUGGAGCAACUUGUAUUCAGAUUCACUAAUUGUUUUCUUUUGAACUUUAUGAUGUGUGAACUUAAGUACUUGUGGAUUAUUGAUGUUACCCUAGUUUAAUUCUAGUUAUGAAUUAUGGAUUCAUAUGAUGCAAUCUUUAUAUUAUUAAGUAAUAUUGGGGCGGGAUGGCGGGAUUAGGCCUGUCCCGUCCAGGUCCCAUUUAGGACGGGACUUGCGUGGGAUCAAGUCUUAAAAACGUAAGGCCCGUCCCGAUCCCGUCCCGUGUGCAAUGUCCGGGACGGGCCGUGGGAUGACCCUAAUCCCGUCCCGUCCCAUGCCCAGCCAUAUUCACGGCUCUCUGCCGGAUCUGCUGUUUCGCAGGAACCAUCGCCGGAUUCUAGUGACUUGCCGAAAAACUGCAUCGGAUUUCGACGACUAGCCGAAAAAUUCGCCAUAGCCUACCCGUGAACUACGAAUCACCAAGUUCUCGACAAAUAACAACCAAAACAACAAAUUAACACCUCCACAACGCAACCACAAUAACCCAGAAGCUCAAGGAGACGAGAUUACCUUCUAUUUUUCCAAAACAACGAACCAAUCGAAGAAGGAAGCUCCUCCUUGCCGAACCUCAACCUCAACCGGGCUCCUAGGCCUCCGCUUUAAACCCAGAUCGAUGCAGCUCCAAAGCUCUACCAAAAGGCAUCUGGGCUUCGCUCGAGGUUUGCAGGUCUCAUCGGAGCACGAGAAGCUCAACAAAAGAACACAUUGUCAGAGCUAAGAACUCGAAACCUAGAAAAAGUACAAAAAAGGGGAUUUUCAAAUUACGGCUCAAAUCAAAAAAUUAAAGACAUGGAAUCGAAGAAAAAGGAAGGAGGAAAAGAACCCUACCCCUCGCUGUCGCCGUUGGAGCUCACCAAAAAAUGAUGAACACAAUCGUGCUUUAGCCUGUUCGAUCUCCCUCUAUGAUGGUUGUAUGUCGAAUCAAUGGGUAGGAGGACGUAGAGGAGAGAGAUACGAGUCCAUUGGUGAUCACCAAUCGAUCUACGGCGGCUGGACGACAGUGGAGAAGUGGUUGGCAGCCGAGACGGCUACGUCUCUCUCACUCUGUCUCUCAGACCCUCUCACUUCUCUUGACAGAACCCCAUAAGGGAUUAGGGUUUUUACCCUAUAUACUUGGGGCCGUAUAGAAAGGAAGAAAAUGAAGGGCUAAGAUUAAAAAUAGAAAAUAGAAAUAGAAAUUUUAAAAUACUCGAGACUUUGAAAAUUCGUAAGAAAUAACUUAGUGCUCUGAAGAAUAUUCUGAAGACACCGGUGAGCUCAUGUCGACGCGUGCAUCUACAUCCAGGCCUUAAACCAAGAAUUCGACAUUUUGGGAAAAACUCAAAAAUGGACUUGAAUUUUAACUUAUUAAGUUACCGACCACGGUUAAAUUCUUCAGUAACACGUAAAAACAUCUAGUAAAUAGGUAAAGUUAGAUACGGGCGUUACAAUCACCUCGUCCUUAUAAAAAUUUCAUUCUCUGAAUUUCAAACCGCACUGGUCAAUGCCAUUGGUCAAGGGUCAACUUACUUUUACUCUUUGUUUCGCUCAAAAGCUCGAUGGCUUGACAAGUGACAUUGUCACAAUUGAAACAUUGGUGAUCAGGUUCACCAAUCUCUAGAUCGACACGAGUAAAGCUUCCUCCAAAGGCUCUAAAUGUUUCGCUAAACCACCAAUGUUUGCACAAAGUUCACGAUGCCUGCUCCAGAGCGCGAGUACCCGUAGGUCAGCAUACAUUUUCUCAUACUGUGAAAUUACCUAACACACUCGAAGAACACAAUUCGAUUUCAACGCCGGGCUUAAAUCUUCAAACGUCAUGUAACGAAUUUGCAAUUAUGAUGAGCACAAACUCGACAUCAAAGCCUGCUUGUUAAGAAGCUAAAGUUCACACGACAGAGUAGUAAACCUUCAUUCUCCACUCAAAUCUAAAUUAAUUAAAUUUUUUUUUUUAAAUAUUGAUGUCAAGUCCUACUAAAUUAACACAGUCAAAUCAUGUUGCCUGACUUAACACCGAAAUUCACACAAGUAGAUCACCUUCUUAAGUUGUGACAGAAUUUGUACCCCCAAACCACACUACUUAUUUAGGAUACGGCCAUAUCAAUAAUUCUAAUAGAUAAAAUCACAUGGCCCACUCUAGCCAUUUUACAAGAAUUAAAAAUCUUUAAACUGCACAACACACUUCUCUUCCUACCUCCAAUAAUAAAUAGUCUGACAAUAGAAUUUGAUCUAAGAAACAUUCAUGGGCAAACUCUUGUACACGCUUGACACUACAGUUUCAAACCUCAAAAGCUUCUAACCAAUGUAUUGACAACUACAAAAUUACACUUGGAUUAACUCCAUUGGUCGUCAAAAGCGGUGACAACCGGAAACAAGACUUAGAUUUACCACUGCCGCGAUGUACAUGUAAAGAACAUCAAGUUACCUAUCGCACGUUAAAAUUAGUUUCCAUACAGGACCCGCUACUACCCUUUGUGGUUCGCCAACCCACGAAAACUAUGAGUUUAAGUAAAAGUCAAAACUCAUGGCAAAUCUCAGCUCAAGCUACAGAAUAACUAACUUAUAGAACUUGAGGCACAGCCCCAUAACUUCGAGCUCAAAAGCUUCACAAUUCUCCGACAUCCGCUAGAAACUCGUUUCGAAAACGUACUAGAAACCUGAAUUCAAUAGUGGUUUCAACUAAUCACCCUGACAUCAACGGAUGAACACACAUCCAAACAACGAUGACCUCCCAGAUCAUAUCUGGAUUAGUAAAGGAUCCCUAGAAAAGACGUCGCUCAACUUAUCAGUAUAUCUACUACCCUCUAUAUUAAAACUCUUAAUAAUCAUUGACUCGAAAUGCUUCUUGAGUCCACAAGGAAACUCUCACCCUUAAGGCUACGCCACAAGUCAAACACAACGUCACGCAUACAAUCGAUUCAACAUAUCCACGCGACUCCCAGACUACCACAUAUAAUUUUAUGACUUCAUGGUUCGUCACUUAAUCGAACUCCGGUUCACUUCGGAUCACCACAAGAUUUAUCAAUGAUCCAUGUCUACAACACAACAUACAAUUUAUCAUUUACUUUAAAAAUUCGACAAACUAACUAAAUUGAAGUGUCCGCACUCCAUAGUUUUAAAUUCUGAGGAUGCUACCCAAAACUACAGCUGGAACAAUUUAUAUAUCCUCAAACAUACCACAACUAAAACUUUGAUAUAAAUUAUCGAAUUAGUAAUUAGGUGGGUAAACGGAUUCUCACUUUGUUAUGUCACGGUUAGUAGCCAAUUAUGAACGAAGUGAUGUUAGUAAACAAACUUCGGUCACAAAUUCAAGCCUUGCAUUAACUAAUCCAUAACAACACCGCUUGAAUUUACUAUGGACACCCAUCCACGAUUUCUAUACAACCUCUACGACUUUGGUUACGCCAUUCCCAGAAUUAUUCAACAACCCUUUUCGCUUCCAACAACCACACGAUUCCAAAACACUCAACAAAUCUAAAGGCCAAACUUUAACAUAUACCAUUUCCGGAGACAAACAUAACGACCCCACGAUUAAAAUAAUAUAACUGACAUCUCACUGCACGAUUCUUAGCUUGCUGGAAGUUCAGAACAUUUGGUAACACCCUUCAAUUCCUAUAAUUCGUUUACUGUGACACAUGAAUAAGUAUGUCACAACGCUAUGACCAAUGGUUAUUGCAAGGAAAAUAAUCCUUGAGUCUUAUACUUAAACGCCUUAACCGGCUUCAACUAACCUACAAUAUAGACAAAAGUCACCAUAAACCUUACUAUUCAUCGACUACCAUUAAUUGUCUUCUCCAAAAUAUUCCCACUACUCUUUUAAUAGAACGCUCUAAAGAUAAGAACAUAUAUGUAAUUACAGCUGUAGGAACCAGAACAUGUGCCGCCAUAAGCAACAUUAUCCUAAAAUGUUCCCAACUGAUUUCUGUUGCGGAUAAAGUAGUCGAUAAAUUGGCCUUCAAACAUGACUUCUCCAAAUUGAUAUUUACCCAAUACUAGUCACAAAUCCCACGUGACUUAUUCGCUCAGGAUUAAGGUCCUCAAAAACUCGUAAAGGUACAUCUUGGAAUUACUAUUUCAACUAACUUUUACAUUAACAAAACCCAUAACUACUUCGAACCUUCCAACAAACACUUCUCUCCCAAAAAUCACAUAAUUGAUUCCAACAUCUCCCAUCAGUCUAAUUUGACUCCAAUCUUGCCCACUGAAAAUGAAAAACUCAGAGGCAUGAAUCAAACAUUUCACCUACUACAGAUUCGCACAAGAUGCUCACUAGCAUCUUAAUCAUAGCCUAAUUAAUCACUAGACAAAUGAAAGGAAUGGUUUCAAGCUUUUGAGUUCCCAACUCUAUUGACACCAAGUAUGACUAAGUAUAUGAGUUCCCAACUCUAUUGACACCAACUCUAUUGGACCAUCACUCUAUUGACACCAAGUAUGACUAAGUAUAUGAGGUAGUAAUAAAAACAAGAAAGAAUCGAACCACCUAAUGCUCUGAUACCAACUGUCACGAGCCACCCCGGAAUUCACCCUGAAAUCCGAAGUAAACCCUGCAGGGCCCACCUCCAAAAGAGAUGCUACUGAAAAUUCGGCAAAACCUCCCUUGAAAAUAGACAACCCUUCCUAAAAACACCUGCACACACUUCAUAAAAUCACACUCCAACCUUAUACUCCUGGAGCGUUCGUGCUCCCCAAUUUCUCAACACCUCCCAAGUUAUUUACUAAUCUAAAAAAAAAAAAUAUCUCAUAAUCAACAAUUCAUAGGUUCAGAUAACCUCUAAAUAAGGAAAAAAAGGAAACAGAAAAUACAAAUAAGCGGAAGCCAUAUUAUGGACUAUGCCUCGACUUCAUGUACACCCGACCUCAAAUAAGCUAACCUGCAAGCUGGGCAUUUAAAAUCGAAGGGAACAUGAGAGAAACACUUGAAAAAACGUUAGUGAACAAAAAUAAAUUAAAAAGGAUCAUAUAAACAAAUAAAACUUUAUGCUUCCCCAAAUUUAAAUCCAAUAGAAAAAUCAUGGUGCAUGCAACUAUGUAAAGCUCUUGUCCCAGAGAAAAUGGACAAAUAAAAAAAUACGAGACUAGCCCUGCCAGUCUCCAACACUAUUAGAUAUUGAGUCUCUAAGGCUCUAGUAAUAAGUUAUUAAAUAAUAGAAACUAAAUUAAUAUUUUGGGAAAAUCUGGUUCCUAGGAGAACCAAAUUUAACUCCUACUAACCUUGCACUCCAAAACUAUUAAAUGUCUCUUCAAAAAAACAAUUCUCCAUACCUAGUUUAGUACUCCAAACAAUCUGCCGAAACUACUUCUCAAAGUAUGUACAUUUUGAUUUAUUCAACAACAUCAAAAAUAACCUAGAACCUCCGAGUCUACUUUCCAUUACCAAAAUCUUAUGCAAUUAACUUGAUCAUAAUCCUAAGUUGCACAUCAAUCACUUCAUCACCAGAGAACAAUUGCUAAUCUUACAGAAACUAUCUUAAGAAACAAAGCCUAGGAAAGCCAAAAUCAUGUAAACCAUAGUAUGCAAUUUAUGCUUUAUAUAAAGAACACAUAGCAAAUCAAUCAAAUUAAUAUAUUGUAUACAUACAAAUAAAUCCAUGUAAUUAAUAUGCAUUUCAAAUAAACACAUGUAUUGACAGAAAGGAAACCAUAACAGUCAUAACAAUCAAUAGUUUAAUCGACAUAGAACAUAAGACUUAAGCUCCGGAAAUUUUUAUCUAUCCAAGUAUAGACUUUCUUUCUUCCACAAUUCCCUCCAAUGAAUCACUUGCUCCAAAUAAUCUCAAUCCUCGAAAAUAUCUCAAAAAUUUCUGUACCUAUAGCAUAUAUUGCCAACUACAGAAAUCUUAGAAAUUGUAAAUCUCUCAACUCAGCCAAAUGAUUAAUGUCGAGCUUAACGCACGAAAAUGCAUCUCAUCUUCUCAUACUGCAUCAGAUUCUAGAACCUCAAACUAUCCUCAAUAGGCCCAAGCAUACUCCUCAAACUUCCUAUAAUUGACCAAAAAUAAAGCCUGCUUACCACAAAAUCUGGUAACAUGUUCCUAGGAGAUCUAAUUUAACACCUAAUAACCUUGGCACAUGGCCAGCUAAAAAAGUUUUUCCAAACAUAUUAAAUGUCUCAUCAAAACAACAAUUUUAGUACUCCAAGCGAUCUACCGAAACUACUUCUCAAAGUAUGUACAUUUUGAUCUAAUCAACGACAACAACAAGGACCUAGAACCUCCGAGUCAACUAUCCAUUACCAAACUCUUAUGCAAUUAACUUGAUCAUAAUCCUAAGUUGCACAUCAAUCACUUAAUCACCAGAGAACAAUUGCUAAUCUUACUGAAACUAGCGUAAGAAACAAAGCCUAGGAAACCCAAAAUCAGGUAAACAAUAGUAUGCAAUUUAUGCAUUAUAUAAAGAAAACAUAGCAAAUCAAUCGAAUUAACAUAUUGUGUACACACAAAUAAAUCCAUGUAAUUAUUAUGCAUUUCAAAUAAACACACGUAUUGACAGAAAGGAAAUCAUAAGAGUCAUAACGAUCAAUAGUUCAAUCCACAUAGAACAUAAGACUUAAGCUCCGGAAAUUUUUAUCUAUCCAAAUAUAGACAUUCUUCCUUCCACAAUUCCCUCGUAUUAAUCACAUGCGCAAAAUAAUCUCCAUCCUCGAAAAUAUCUCAAAAACUUAUGUACGUAUAGCUAUAUAUUANNNNNNNNNNNNNNNNNNNNUCAUAGGAGAACCUAAUUUAAAUCCAAAUAACCUUGCACCAAGCCUGCUAUAAAAGUUUUUCCAAACCUAUUAAAUGUCUCUUCAAAACAACAAUUCUCCAUACCUAGAUUAGUACGCCAAGCGAUCUGCCGAUACUACUUCUCAAAGUAUGUGCAUUUUAAUGAUAAUCUUCCAUAAACCAUCUUAAGAAACAAAGCCUAAUAAAGCCUAACUCAUGUAAACAAUAGUAUGUAAUUUAUGCUUUUUAUAAAGAACACAUAGCAAAUCAAUCGAAGUAAUAACCAUCAAUAGUUCAAACGACAUAGAACUUAACACUAAGCUCCUCAAAUUUUGAUCUAUCCAAGCACAGACUUUCUUCCUUCCACAAUUCCCACUUAACAAAAAUAAAGCCUGCUUAACAAAAAAUCUGGUAACAUGUUCCUAGGAGAACCUAAUUUAACUCCUAAUACCCUUGCACCUGGCCUGCUAUAAAAGUUUCACCAAACCAAUAAAUUGUCUCUUCAAAACAACAAUUCUCCGUACAUAGUUUAGUACUCCAAGCGAUCUGCCGAAACUACUUCUCAAAAGUAUGUACAUUUUGAUCUAUUCAACGACAUCAACAAUGACCUAGAACCACCAAGUCUACUUUCAAUUACCAAAAUCUUAUGCAAUUAACUUGAUCAUAAUCCUAAUUUGCACAUCAUUCACUUCAUCACCAGAGAACAAUUGUUAAUCUUACAGAAACUAUCUUAAGAAACAAAGCAUAGGAAAGCCAAACACAUGUAAACAAUAGUAUGUAAUUUAUGCUUUAAACAAAGAUCACAUAGCAAAUCAAUCGAAUUAAUAUAUUGUAUACACAAAUAAAUCCAUGUAAUUAAUAAGCAUUUCAAAUAAACACAUGUAUUGACCGAAAGGAAAUCAUAACAUUCAUAACGACCAAUAGUUAAAUUGACAUAGAACAUAAGACUUAAGCUCCGGAAAUUUUGAUCUAUCCAAGUACAAACUUUCUUCCUUCCACAAUUCCCUCGUAUGAAUCACUGGCUCAAAAUAAUCUCAAUCCUCGAAAAUAUCUCAAAAACUUCUAUACCUAUAGCUAUAUAUAACCUACCAAAGUAAACUUGAAAAUUGUAAAUCUCUCAACUCAGCCAAAUGAUUAAUGUCGAACAUAAUGCACGAAAAUGCAUUUCGAAUUCACAUACAGCAACAGCUUCUAGAACCUCAAUACGCCCAAGCCAACUCUUCAAACUUCCUACUAUUGACCAAAAAUAAAGCUAACUUACCACAAAAUCUGGUAACAUGUUCCUACGAGAACCUAAUUUAACUCCUAAUAACCUUGCACCUGGCCUGCUAUAAAAGUUUCUCCAAACCUAUUAAAUGUCUCUUCAAAACAACAAUUUACCAUACCUACUUUAGUACUCCAAGCGAUCUGUCGAAACUACUUCUCAAAAUAUGUACAUUUUGAUCUAAUCAACGUCAACAACAAUGAUCUAGAACCUCCGAGCCGACUUUCCAUUACCAAAUUCUUAUGCAAUUAACUUGAUCAUAAUCCAAAGUUGCACAACAAUCACUUCAUCACCAGAGACCAGUUGCUAAUCUUACGGAAACCAUGUUAAGAAACAAAGCCUACCUCAUGUAAACAAUAGUAUGUAAUUUAUGCUUUUUAUAAAGAUCACAUAGCAAAUCAAUAGAAUUAAUAUAAUGUAUACACACAAAUAAAUCAAAGUAAUUAAUAUGCAUUUCAAAUAAACACAUGUAUUAACAGAAACGAAAACAUGAGUCAUAACCAUCAAUAGCUCAAACGACAUAGAACAUAAGACUAAGCUCCUCAAAUUUUGAUCUAUCCAAGUGCAGACUUUCUUCCUUCCACAAUUCCCUCUUACGAAUCACUUGCUCAAAAAAAUCUCAAUCCUCGAAAAUAUCUCAGAAACUUUUGCACCUGUAGCUAUAUAUUACACACCAAGGAAAACUUGAAAAUUGUAAAUCUCUCAACCCAGCCAAAUGAUUAAUGUCGAAUAUAAAGCAUGAAAAUGCAUUUCAACUUCACAUACUCCACCAGAAUCUAGAACCUCAAGCUAUCCUAAAUACGCCCAAGCCUACUCUUCCAACUUCCUACUAUUGACCAAAAAUAAAGCCUGCUUACCACAAAAUCUGGUAACAUGUUCCUAAGAGAACCUAAUUUAACUCCUAAUAAAGUUGCACCUGGCCUUCUAUAAAAGUUUCUCCAAACCUAUUAAAUGUCUCUUUAAGACAAUAAUUCUCCAUACCUAGUUUAGUACUCCAAGAGAUCUGCCGAAACUACUUCUCAAAGUAUGUGCAUUUUGAUCUAAUCAACGACAACAACAAUGACCUAGAACCUCCGAGAUUACAUUCCAUUACCAAAAUCUUAUGCAAUUAACUUGAUCAUAGUCCUAAGUUGCACAUCAAUCACUACAUCACUAGACACCAGCUGCAAAUCUUACAGAAACCAUCUUAAGAAACAAAGCCUAGUAAAGCCUAACACAUGUAAACAAUAGUAUGUAAUUUACGCUUUAUAUAAAGAUCACAAAGCAAAUCAAUCGAAUUAUUAUAUUGUAUACACACAAAUAAAUCCAUGUAACGAAUAUGCAUUUCAAAUAAACACAUGUAUUGACAUAAAGGAAACCAUCAGAUUCAUAACGAUCAAUAGUUCAAUCGACAUAGAACAUAUGACUUGAGCUCCGAAAAUCAUAACUUAAUCUACAAAACUCCUUUUUAAGAGAUUCAAAUUCAGGAAUGAUGUUUAACAUCUGUACUAUAACUUUUAUGCAGACAACAACUUCAAAUACACAACUGAAAUGCACCGAUUUUAGUAAAAAGGCUGCUGGGUCAAAAACUCAGAAAACUGAUUUGCAGAAUUUCUUACUGCAGACCCUAAUUGUAUUUUUAAUCCUGAUUUUGUUUCUCCUUUAGUCUCCUCCCUUCUCUCUCCUUUGUUUUCUUACUUCUUUCUAAAAGUUGUUAUAAGUUUGGGCUCGGGGUUUGGGUUCACUAACUAUUGGGUCAAGGUUAAUGUCAUGGGUUAAAAGUAGGGUUAAUCUCAAAAACUUAAGUACCUAUAGCUAUAUAUUACCUACUAACGUAAACAUGAAAAUUGUAAAUCUCUCAACUCAGCCAAAUCAAUAAUGUCGAACAUAAUGCAGGAAAAUGCAUUUUAUCCUAUCAUACUGCACCAGAUUCUAGAACCUAAACUCCUCAAUACGCCCAAGCAUACUCCUCAAACUUACUACUAUUGUUCCCAUGUAUUUACCAAAAUAAAGCCUAUUUACCACAAAAUCGGGUAACAUGUUCCUAGGAGAACCUAAUUUAACUCCUAAUAACCUUCCACUCCAAAACUAUUAAAUCUAUCUUCACAAUAACAAUUUUCCAUACCUAGUUUAGUACUCCAAGCGAUUUGCCGAAACUACCUCUCAAAGUAUAUACAUUUUGAUCUAAUCAACGACAACAACAAUGACCUAGAACCUCCGAGUCUACUUUCCAAGUACAGACUUUCUUCCUUCCACAAUUCCCUCCAAUGAAUCACUUGCCCAAAAUAAUCUCAAUCCUCGAAAAUAUCUCAAAAACCUCUGUACCUAUAGUUAUAUAUUACCUACCAAAGAAAACUUGAAAAUUGUAAUCCCAACCCAGUGAAAUGAUUAAUGUCGAACAUAAUGCACAAAAAUGCAUUUCAUCUUCUCAUACAGCCCCAGAUUCAAAAACGUCAAACUAUCCCCAAUAUGCCCAAGCCUACUCCUCAAACUUCCUACUACUGUUCCCAAGUAUUUACCAAAAAUAAAGCCUGCUUAACAAAAAAUCUGUUAACAUGUUCCUAGGAGAACCUAAUUUAACUCCCAAUACCUUUGCACCAGGCCUGUUAUAAAAGUUUCACCAAACCAAUUAAUUGUCUCUUCAAAACAACAAUUCUCCAUACAUAGUUUAGUACUCCAAGCGAUCUGCCGAAGCUACUUCUCAAAGUAUGUACAUUUUGAUCUAUUCAACGACAUCAACAAUGACCUAGAACCACCGAGUCUACUUUCCAUUACCAAAAUCUUAUGCAAUUAACUUGAUCAUACUCCUAAUUUGCACAUCAAUCACUUCAUCACCAGAGAACAAUGGUUAAUCUUACAGAAACUAUCUUAAGAAACAAAGCAUAGGAAAGCCAAACUCAUGUAAACAAUAGUAUGUAAUUUAUGCUUUAUACAAAGAUCACAUAGCAAAUCAAUCGAAUUAAUAGAUUGUAUACAUACAAAUAAAUCCAAGUAAUUAAUAUUCAUUUCAAAUAAACACAUGUAAUGACAGACAGGAAAUCAUGAGUCAUAACCAUCAAUAGUUCAAACGACAUAGAACAUAAGACUAAGCUCCUCAAAUUUUGAUCUAUCCAAGUACAGACUUUCUUCCUUCCACAAUUCCAUCUUAUGCUUUAAUAAAGAACACAUAGCAAAUCAAUCGAAUUAAUAUAUUCUAGACACAAAUAAAUCCAUGUAAUUAUUAUGCAUUUCAAAUAAACACAUGUAUUGACAGAAAGGAAAUCAUAAGAGUCAUAACGAUCAAUAGUUCAAUCGACACAGAACAUAAGACUUAAGCUCCGGAAAUUGUUAUCUAUCCAAAUAGAGACAUUCUUCCUUCCACAAUUCCCUCGUAUUAAUCACAAGCGCAAAAUAAUCUCCACCCUCGAAAUAUCUCAAAAACUUAUGUACCUAUAACUAUAGAUUACCAACCAAAGUAAACUUGACAAUUGUAAAUCACAAGACUCAGCCAAAUGAUUAAUGUCAAACAUAUCGCACGAAAAUGCAUUUCAUCUUCUCAUACUGCACCAGAUUCUAGAACCUCAAACCAUCCUCAAUACACACAAGUCUACUCCUCAAACAUCCUACUAAUGACCAAAAAUAAAGCCUGCUUCCAAAAAAAUCUGGUAACAUGUUCAUAGGAGAACCUAAUUUAACUCCUAAUAACCUUGCACCUCGCCUGCUAUAAAAGUUUUUCCAAACCUAUUAAAUGUCACUUUAAAAAAACAAUUCUCCAUACCGAGAUUAGUACUCCAAGCGAUCUGCCGAUACUACUUCUCAAAGUAUGUACAUUUUAAUGAUAAUCUUACAGAAACCAUCUUAAGAAACAAAGCCUAAUAAAGCCUAACUCAUGUAAACAAUAGUAUGUAAUUUAUGCUUUUUAUAAAGAACACAACAAAUCAAUCGAAUUAAUAUAUUGUAUACACACAAAUAAAUCCAUCUAAUUAAAAUGCUUUUCAAAUAAACACAAGUAUUGACAAAAAAGAAAUCAAAAGAUUCAUAACGAUCAAUAGUUCAAUCGAAAUAGAACAUAAGACUAAGCUCCUCAAAUUUUGAUGUAUCCAAGUACACUUUCUUCCUUCCGAUAUUCCCUCUUAUGAAUCACUUGUUCAAAAUAAUCUCAAUCCUCGAAAAUAUCUUAAAACCUUUUGUACCUGUAGCUAUAUAUUACACACCAAGGAAAACUUGAAAAUUGUAAAUCUCUCAACCCAGCCAAAUGAUUAAAGUCGAACAUAAUGCACGAAAAUGCAUUUCAUCUUCACAUACUGCACCAGAUUCUAGAACCUCAAGCUAUCCUAAAUACGCCCAAGCGUACUCUUCAAACUUCCUACUAUUGACCAAAAAUAAAGCCUGCUUACCACUAAAUCUGGUAACAUGUUCCUAGGAGAACCUAAUUUAACUCCUAAUAACGUUGCACCUGGCAUGCUAUACUAUUAAAUGUCUCUUUAAAACAAUAAUUCUCCAUACCAAGUUUAGUACUCCGAGCGAUCUGCCGAAACUACUUCUCAAAAUAUGUACAUUUUGAUCUAAUCAACGACAACAACAAUGACCUAGAACCUCCGAGUCUACUUUCCAAGUACAGACUUUCUUCCUUCCACAAUUCCCUCCAAUGAAUCACUUGCCCAAAAUAAUCUCAAUCCUCGAAAAUAUCUCAAAAACCUCUGUACCUAGAGUUUUAUAUUACCUACCAAAGAAAACCUGAAAAUUGUAAUCCCAACCCAGUGAAAUGAUUAAUGUCAAACAUAAUGCACAAAAAUGCAUUUCAUCUUCUUAUUCUGCACCAGAUUCUAAAACGUCAAACUAUCCUCAAUAUGCCCAAGCCUACUCCUCAAACUUCCGACUAUUGUUCCCAAGUAUUUACCAAAAAUAAAGCCUGCUGAAUAAGAAUUGCAAAUCUUACAGAACCUAGCGUAAGAAACAAAGCCUAGGAAACCCAAAAUCAGGUAAACAAUAGUAUGCAAUUUAUGCUUUAAUAAAGAACACAGCAAAUCAAUCGACUUAAUAUAUUCUAGACACAAAUAAAUCCAUGUAAUUAUUAUGCAUUUCAAAUAAACACAUGUAUUGACAGAAAGGAAAUCAUAAGAGUCAUAUCAAUCAAUAGUUCAAUCGACAUAGAACAUAAGACUCAAGCUCCGGAAAUUGUUAUCUAUCCAAAUAGAGACAUUCUUCCUUCCACAAUUCCCUCGUAUUAAUCACAUGCGCAAAAUAAUCUCCAUCCUCGAAAUAUCUCAAAAACUUAUGUACCUAUAGCUAUAGAUUACCAACCAAAGUAAACUUGAUAAUUGUAAAUCUCUCAACAUAUCGCACGAAAAUGCAUUUCAUCUUCUCAUACUGCACCAGAUUCUAGAACCUCAAACCAUCCUCAAUACACACAAGCCUACUCCUCAAACUUCCUACUAAUGACCAAAAAUAAAGCCUGCUUACCAAAAAAAUCUGGUAACAUGUUCAUAGGAGAACCUAAUUUAACUCCUAAUAACCUUGCACCUCGCCUGCUAUAAAAGUUUUUCCAAACCUAUUAAAUGUCACUUUAAAACAACAAUUCUCCAUACCGAGAUUAGUACUCCAAGCGAUCUGCCGAUACUACUUCUCAAAGUAUGUACAUUUUAAUGAUAAUCUUACAGAAACCAUCUUAAGAAACAAAGCCUAAUAAAGCCUAACUCAUGUAAACAAUAGUAUGGUAAUUUAUGCUUUUUAUAAAGAACACAACAAAUCAAUCGAAUUAAUAUAUUGUAUACACACAAAUAAAUCCAUCUAAUUAAAAUGCUUUUCAAAUAAACACAAGUAUUGACAAAAAAGAAUCAAAAGAUUCAUAACGAUUCAAUAGUUCAAUCGAAAUAGAACAUAAGACUAAGCUCCUCAAAUUUUGAUGUAUCCAAGUACACUUUCUUCCUUCCGUAUUAUUCCCUCUUAUGAAUCACUUGUUCAAAAUAAUCUCAAUCCUCGAAAAAUAUCUUAAAACCUUUUGUACCUGUAGCUAUAUAUUACACACCAAGGAAAACUUGAAAAUUGUAAAUCUCUCAACCCAGCCAAAUGAUUAAAGUCGAACAUAAUGCACGAAAAUGCAUUUCAUCUUCACAUACUGCACCAGAUUCUAGAACCUCAAGCUAUCCUAAAUACGCCCAAGCCUACUCUUCAAACUUCCUACUAUUGACCAAAAAUAAAGCCUGCUUACCACUAAAUCUGGUAACAUGUUCCUAGGAGAACCUAAUUUAACUCCUAAUAACGUUGCACCUGGCCUGCUAUACUAUUAAAUGUCUCUUUAAAACAAUAAUUCUCCAUACCAAGUUUAGUACUCCAAGCGAUCUACCGAUACUACUUCUCAAGAAACAAAGCCUAACAAAGCCUAACUCAUGUAAACAAUAGUAUGUAAUUUAUGCUUUUUAUAAAGAACACAACAAAUCAAUCGAAGUAAUAUAUUGUAUACACACAAAUAAAUCCAUCUAAUUAAAAUGCUUUUCAAAUAAACACAUGUAUUGACAUAAAGGAAAUCAAAAGAUUCAUAACGAUCAAUAGUUCAAUCGACAUAGAACAUAAGACUUGAGCUCCAGAAAUUUUUAUCUAUCCAAGUACAGACAUUCUUGCUUCCACAAUUCCCUCAUAUGAAUCACAUGCUCAAAAUAAUCUCCAUCCUCGAAAAUAUCUCAAAAACUUCUGUACCCAUAGUUAUAUAUUACCUACCAAAGUAAACUUGACAAUUGUAAAUCUCUCAACUCAGCCAAAUAAUUAAUGUCGAACAUAUCGCACGAAAAUGCAUUUCAUCAUCACAUACUACACCAGAUUCUAGAACCUCAAACUAUGCUCAAUACGCCCAAGUCUACUCCUCAAACUUCCUACUAUUGACCAAAAAUAAAGCCUGCUUACCACAAAAUCUGGUAACAUGUUCCUAGGAGAUCUAAUUUAACUCCAAAUAACCUUGCACCUGGCCUGCUAUAAAAGUUUAUCCCCUCUUCAAAACAACAAUUCUCCAUACCUAGUUUAGUACUCCAAGCGAUCUGCCGAAACUACUUCUCAAAACAUGUACAUUUUGAUCUAAUCAACGUCAACAACAAUGACCUAGAACCUCCGAGCCGACUUUCCAUUACCAAACUCUUAUGCAAUUAACUUGAUCAUAAUCCAAAGUUGCACAUCAAUCACUUCAUCACCAGAGAGUUGCUAAUCUUACGGAAACCAUCUUAAGAAACAAAGCCUAACUCAUGUAAACAAUAGUUUGUAAUUUAUGCUUUUUAUAAAGAUCACAUAGCAAAUCAAUCGAUUUAAUAUAAUGUAUACACACAAAUAAAUCCAAGUAAUUAAUAUGCAUUUCAAAUAAACACAUGUAUUGACAGAAAGGAAAUCAUGAGUCAUAACCAUCAAUAGUUCAAACGACAUAGAACAUAAGACUAAGCUCCUCAAAUUUUGAUCUAUCCAAGUACAGACUUUCUUCCUUCCACAAUUCCCUCUUAUGAAUCACUUGCUCAAAAUAAUCUCAAUCCUCGGAAAUAUCUCAAAAACUUUUGUACAUGUAGCUAUAUAUUACGCACCAAGAACCUCCGAGAUUACUUUCCAUUACCAAAAUCUUAUGCAAUUAACUUGAUCAUAGUCCUAAGUUGCACAUCAAUCACUACAUCACCAGACACCAGCUGCUAAUCUUACAGAAACCAUCUUAAGAAACAAAGCCUAGUAAAGCCUAACUCAUGUAAACAAUAGUAUGUAAUUUAUGCUUUAUAUAAAGAUCACACAACAAAUCAAUUGAAUUAAUAUAUUGUAUACACAAAAUUAAAUCCAUGUAAUUAAUAUGCAUUUCAAAUAAACACAUGUAUUGACAAAAAGGAAAUCAUCAGAUUCAUAAUGAUCAAUAGUUCAAUCGACAUAGAACAUAAGACUUGAGAUCCGAAAAUCAUAACUUAAUCUGCAAAACUCCUUUUUAAGAGAUUCAAAUUCAGGAAUGAUGUUUAACAUCUGUACUAUAACUUUUAUGCAGACAACAACUUCAAAUACACAACUGAAAUGCACCGAUUUUAGUAAAAAGGCUGCUGGGUCAAAAACUCAGAAAACUGAUUUGCAGAAUUUCUUACUGCAGACCCUAAUUCUAUUUUUAAUCCUGAUUUUGUUUCUCCUUUAGUCCCCACCCUUCUCUCUCCUUUGUUUUCUUACUUCUUUCUAAAAGUUGUUAUAAGUUUGGGCUCGGGGUUUCGGUUUACUAACUAUUGGGCCAAGGUUAAUGUCAUGGGUUAAAAGUAGGGUUAAUCUCAAAAACUUAUGUACCUAUAGCUAUAUAUUACCUACUAAUGUAAACUUGAAAAUUGUAAAUCUCUCAACUCAGCCAAAUCAAUAAUGUCGAACAUAAUGCACGAAAAUGCAUUUUAUCCUAUCAUACUGCACUAGAUUCUAGAACCUAAACUCCUCAAUACGCCCAAGCAUACUCCUCAAACUUACUACUAUUGUUCCCACGUAUUUACCAAAAUAAAGCCUAUUUACCACAAAAUCGGGUAACAUGUUCCUAGGAGAACCUAAUUUAACUCCUAAUAACCUUCCAGUCCAAAACUAUUAAAUGUCUCUUCAUAACAACAAUUUUCUAUACCUAGUUUAGUACUCCAAACGAUUUGCCGAAACUACUUCUCAAAGUAUGUACAUUUUGAUCUAAUCAAGCACAACAACAAUGACCUAGAACCUCCGAGUCUACUUUCCAUGUAUAGACUUUCUUCCUUCCACAAUUCCCUCCAAUGAAUCACUUGAUCAAAAUAAUUUCAAUCCUCGAAAAUAUCUCAAAAACCUCUGUACCUAUAGUUAUAUAUUACCUACCAAAGAAAACUUGAAAAUUAUAAUCCCAACCCAGUGAAAUGAUUAAUGUCGAACAUAAUGCACAAAAAUGCAUUUCAUCUUCUCAUACCGCCCCAGAUUCAAAAACGUCAAACUAUCCUUAAUAUGCCCAAGCCUACUCCUCAAACUUCCUACUAUUGUUCCCAAGUAUUUACCAAAAAUAAAGCCUGCUUAACAAAAAAUCUGGUAACAUGUCCCUAGGAGAACCUAAUUUAACUCCAAAUACCCUUACACCUGGCCUGCUAUAAAAGUUUCACCAAACCAAUAAAUUGUCUCUUCAAAACUACAAUUCUCCAUACAUAGUUUAGUACUCCAAACGAUCUGCCGAAACUACUUCUCAAAGUAUGUACAUUUUGAUCUAUUCAACGACAUCAACAAUAACCUAGAACCACCGAGUCUACUUUCCAAUACCAAAAUCUUAUGCAAUUAACUAGAUCAUAAUCCUAAUUUGCACAUCAAUCACUUCAUCACCAGAGAACAAUUGUUAAUCUUACAGAAACUAUCUUAAGAAACAAAGCAUAGGAAAGCCAAGCUCAUGUAAACAAUAGUAUGUAAUUUAAGUAUCACAUUACACACGCUAAAAUCCCAAGGUUCAAGUAGUAUGAAGGUCUUCUUAAACUCAUCCUAAACUCUAAUCAGUAUUACGAAACAGUAGAUUUCUCUGGCACAAAGAACAAAUUUUACAUAAUCAACUCUAUCCAAACACCAAAUAUCACAUAACACACGUUAAAAUCCCAAGGUUCAGGUAGUAUGAAGGUCUUCUUAAAUUCAUCCUAAACUCUAAUCAGUAUUACGAAACAGUAAAUUUCUGGCACAAAGAACAAAUUUUACAUAAUCAACUCUAUCCAAACACCAAAUAUCACAUAACACACAUAAUCCUCAACAAACUACAUAACCGGAAUUUCAACAAAUCCUUCAACUUUCGAAACCCUAGAAAAUCAGAAUCACUUAUCUUUGGUGGAGACAGCAUCACCUGCGAGCAGACGUAGUCUUUGAGUCGGACGUUGGGUUCUCGAGAGCGUUGAGAACGACGAAGCGGCUCUCAGCGGGAACAAGGGAAAGAGAAUCAGGAAGGACGACAUCAACUGGGAAUUUGGGGCGUCGGGCAUAAUUUUCGAAAUUGGAGGGUGGAGGCGGAUUGGGUGAUGGAGAUGACGGCGGCGGAUCGGUUGAUGGAGAUGGCGGCGACGGAUUGGGUGGUGGAGAGGGCGGUGGAGAAUUUGGUGGGGAAGAUGUCGAUGGCAGGUUUACUGAAAUCGGGAAAGAAGAAGAAAUUGGGAGAGAAGAAGAGGAAAGGGUCAGAAUCUAAAGGAAGUGGAAUGGGCUGGGCUGUCGGAUGUUUUUCUGUCUGGGCUGGUGGGGUUCAGUAAGUGUCCUCAAUAAAAAUUACAUCUGUGUUAGUGAAAAUUUUUUGAGAUUUCAAUAUUGUAAAAUUUGUAAGCCUUCUGUCCCAUUAGAUAACCCAAAAAAAUGCAUUUGGUGGCACGAGGAGAAAAUUUGGAAGAUGGAUUAGGAACGGUUGCAACCAAAAACUCGCAUAUGCGAAUAAUCGGGAAGCUUAUUGUAAGGUAUUUCAAAUGGUGUUUUCUUGUUGAGUUACAAAGUAGGUAAACGGUUGAUGUUGUAAACAGAGGUUAAAACACAUUCUCCCCAAAAGAAAUAGGAAGACACAAGUAGUUUCAAAAAUAUGUCGAUGUUUUAUUUCGACAACACCAUUUUGAUGAGGUGUGUAUACACAAAAAUGUUGGAAACUACCCCUUGCUCAGGAAAAAAACUUUUUACAGAAAGGAAUCAGCUCCAUUGUCAGAGCAAAACUGUUGGACUUUGGUAUUGAAUUGAGUUGCGACAAAGUUAAAAAAUUGACGAAUUAAAGUUUGCGCUUCAUUCUUAUGUUGUAUUAAAAAUACUCAAGUGAAUCGAGAAAAGUCAUCAACAAUAGUCAAAAAAUAAUGAGCACCAAAAUGAGUAGGAGUUUUAUAAUGACCUCAAAUAUCAUAAUGAAUUAGAGAAAACACUUGGUUGUUGAAAUUGAACAGAAAAAAAAGUCAAGUAUGUUUCCCCAACAGACAAACAUCACACUUAUUACUAGAAUCAAAAACAAAAUGAAGAUUAUUUUUUGCUAAAUGUUGUAAACUUCGGUGCCAAAGGUUGGAGGAGAUGGUCAAAUUGCAAGAAAAACGAUGAGAUGGAGGAAUGAAAGCGUACGCCACAAGGUAGUAUAGGUCAAACGUAGACAAAUCCAAGUGAACAUUAGCUACCAAACGUAGCUGCAGCUUCAAGCCUUCAACCAUGACAAUUGAACGGUAAACAUAGACAAAUCACAGGUAAUAUGCCGUAGCGUAUAUGAUUGCAACCUAAUGUACGUAGCAAUAGUCAGUUAAGAAUUCAAGCCCGUAAUUAUGACAUUUUCAACAAGGUAUGUUAUGUAGUCCUCCUAAUUAGGACCCCAACUUGCACCUAACAAGAACCUUCUGGAGGACCCAAUCCCCCAUUUCUAUUACACAUGAUCCUAUGCAAUUCAAUUCUGAUAAUUUGUAUUUCUUUCAAUUUAGAAAUAUGAUGCAUAGACAAGUUCCAAAAGGAGUACUAAAACAAGUACCUACUUUUCUAUCUUUGUAGCUAGCGUGGAACUUCAUUCUCCCACAUAUUUCCAAACCAGAAAUCCAGCUUCAAUAAUUCCCUGUUUACCAAAUUAUUAUGUCUAUGCCAUAUAUGCUACGAGUGCUCGAUCGUUCCAUAGAUGGAGAGAAUUAGGAAGGGUAGCGGCGGCGGCAACGGAUCUGCAGCGUUAGUAAAGGCGGCUGCAUGGGCAUGGUAUGAGCAUGGAACUGGAUUACAAGGCAAGUCACUGCAGGAGUUUGAUAUCAGAAGAAGUUCUCAUGAUCUUAAACCAUCCAGGUUCAAGCUGGAAGCUAAGAAAUUAGCUGAACAAGGCAGUAGAGAUUUUGAUGAUCGUUCACUUCUUGAUCGAUAUGAAAUUGAGAGUAUUUCUAGGCGGUUGGAUCAACUUAUAGAAUCCAGUGGUGACAAAGGCAAAGUUUAUAAUAAAGGGUUCCUAGUUCAAGACGAUUCUGAUCAUCCUGGAUCAUGCAGCAGUAAGAAGUCAAUAGCUCCAACAUCUGCAGUUGGGGAUCUUGGUCGAAAAGAAAGUGUGGCGUUAUCAGAUGGUGACUACACAAAUCACCGGAGGAAGAAAACGAGCAACAACUUCAGAGGGUUUUUGCAAAGGCAUGCAGUUAUAUGCGGUUCAAGUACACAUAAAGAUGUAAUUAUAGGGACAAGAACUUUCGUGCAUAAUCGGGAGCGGCCACAGUACCUGGAAAAGAGGAAGGUGUACCCGCCGGUACCGGUGGUAAAGUUGGCCGACUGUCGGCCAAAGGCCACUGGCCGUCACACACACGCAUUGUGAUCAAUUGAAACGUUAAGCUCUUGCUUUGGUCGUCAGCUGUUAAACAGUUGUCUACUCUGCACAUAUAUACAUACAACGUUGAAUUAUAUCUAUCUAGUUGUUGUAUCACCAGUUCACCACACGUAGUUUUUCAUGUUAGACACUUUCCUCACAUAUGUGGAGACAUUUCUGCAGAUAGUUGUUACAAACCCAAUCAAUGUUUCCUCACAUAUGUGCCAGUGUUCUGCUGCACAUGGUAUUGAAAACUUCAGUAUCUACAUUUGGAUUGAAAUAGCUGCCUUCAUAAUCAAGUGAUAAUUUACAAUUCAAUGCAAGUAAUGAAGACUGAUAACUUGGUCGUAAAACAGAAUAGCAUUAAAAUUACAAUAAAAUUCGGCACUGGAAAUGACAGCCCUCAGUAGAGGGGAUGAACUUGUUAAGGUAGGUUUUCAUUCAAAGUUGCAGACAUGAACUACGAGCCUACAGAAGGGAAAAUACUCUCCAGGAAAUAACAAAUCAAAUAAUAUAAAACAAACUACAUGAAUUAAGGUGUUAGCUAAGAGCGUAAGAGAUUUUACGAUCCAGAUAAAAGGAUCCAGUAACCACAUUUCAAAAGAAGUCUGACUGUCUCAGAGGUAUACAUGCAUAUCUGGUAUAACCAGUAAUAGCAUAGAUGUUUUGCAAUUUUUAACUCAAUAUCAGUAAUAUAUACAAUGCAAAUUGGAUAAACCAACAGCGAUGCAGUGGUGCUAAACAUGAUUUAAAUACAGACAUGGAAGCCAGAUGAAGAUGACAGAGAUCUAUGGCAAUCCAACAACGAACUCCUUCAUAGAUGCGCUGAUUUGGUGGGGGGGAGAGAGAGAGAGAGAGAGAGAGAGAGAGAGAGAGAGAGAGAGAGGAGGUAGUANNNNNNNNNNNNNNNNNNNNNNNNNNNNNNNNNNNNNNNNNNNNNNNNNNNNNNNNNNNNNNNNNNNNNNNNNNNNNNNNNNNNNNNNNNNNNNNNNNNNNNNNNNNNNNNNNNNNNNNNNNNNNNNNNNNNNNNNNNNNNNNNNNNNNNNNNNNNNNNNNNNNNNNNNNNNNNNNNNNNNNNNNNNNNNNNNNNNNNNNNNNNNNNNNNNNNNNNGAGAGAGAGAGAGAAGGGUAAGGUUCACAGAGAAGAGAGAGGAAAAUAAAUGAGAAAAAGGGUAGCUUUGACAAAUCAGGUUAUGUACUAUCUUAGAACUCAAAACUCAUCAACUCAUGAAAGACACUCGCAUGAAUACUACAUACCAAAUAAACAAUUCAGAAGAAACUCAACCAAAAAAGGAAGAAUCAGAAAAGUUUUUCCAAACCUAUUAAAUGUCUCAUCAAAACAACAAUUUUAGUACUCCAAGCGAUCUUCCGAAACUACUUCUCAAAGUAUGUACAUUUUGAUCUAAUCAACGACAACAACAAGGACCUAGAACCUCCGAGUCAACUAUCCAUUACCAAACUCUUAUGCAAUUAACUUGAUCAUAAUCCUAAGUUGCACAUCAAUCACUUCAUCACAACAAUUGCUAAUUUUACUGAAACUAGCGUAAGAAACAAAGCCUAGGAAACCCAAAAUCAGGUAAACAAUAGUAUGCAAUUUAUGCAUUAUAUAAAGAAAACAUAGCAAAUCAAUCGAAUUAACAUAUUGUGUACACACAAAUAAAUCCAUGUAAUUAUUAUGCAUUUCAAAUAAACACACGUAUUGACAGAAAGGAAAUCAUAAGAGUCAUAACGAUCAAUAGUUCAAUCCACAUAGAACAUAAGACUUAAACUCCGGAAAUUUUUAUCUAUCCAAAUAUAGACAUUCUUCCUUCCACAAUUCCCUCAUAUUAAUCACAUGCGCAAAAUAAUCUCCAUCCUCGAAAAUAUCUCAAAAACUUAUGUACGUAUAGCUAUAUAUUAACUACCAAAGUAAACUUGACAAUUGUAAAUCUCUCAACUCAGCCAAAUGAGUAAAGUCGAACGUAUCGCACGAAAAUGCAUUUCAUCUUCUCAUACCGCACCAGAUUCUAGAACCUCAAACUAUCCUCAAUACACACAAGCCUACUCCUCAAACUUCCUACUAAUGACCAAAAAUAAAGCAUGCUUACCAAAAAAAUCAGGUAACAUGUUCAUAGGAGAACCGAAUUUAACUCCAAAUAACCUUGCACCAAGCCUGCUAUAAAAGUUUUUCCAAACCUAUUAAAUGUCUCUUCAAAACAACAAUUCUCCAUACCUAGAUUAGUACGCCAAGCGAUCUGCCGAUACUACUUCUCAAAGUAUGUGCAUUUUAAUGAUAAUCUUCCAUAAACCAUCUUAAGAAACAAAGCCUAAUAAAGCCUAACUCAUGUAAACAAUAGUAUGUAAUUUAUGCUUUUUAUAAAGAACACAGCAAAUCAAUCGAAGUAAUAUAUUGUAUACACACAAAUAAAUCCAUCUAAUUAAAAUGCUUUAUAAAUAAACACAUGUAUUGAAAUAAAGGAAAUCAUAAGAUUCAUAACGAUCAAUAGUUCAAUCGACAUAGAAAAUAAGCCUUGAGCUCCGGAUAUUUUUAUCUACCCAAGUACAGACUUUCUUCCUUCCACAAUUCCCUCAGAUGAAUCACAUGCUCAGAAUAAUCUCCAUCCUCGAAAAUAUCUCAAAAACUUCUGUACCUAUAGUUAUAUAUUACCUACCAAAGUAAACUUGACAAUUGUAAAUCUCUCAAAUCAGCCAAAUAAUUAAUGUCGAACAUAUCGCACGAAAAUGCAUUUCAUCUUCGCAUACUGCACCAGAUUCUAGAACCUCAAACUAUCCUCAAUACGCCCAAGCCUACUCCUCAAACUUCAUACAAUUAACCAAAAUUAAAACCUGCUUACAACAAAAUCUGGUAACAUGUUCCUAGGAGAUCUAAUUUAACUCAUAAUAACCUUGCACCGGGCCUGCUAUAAAAGUUUAUCCCCUCUUCAAAACAACAAUUCUCCAUACCUAAUUUAGUACUCCAAGCGAUCUGCCGAAACCACUUGUCAAAGUAUGUACAUUUUGAUCUAUUCGACAACAACAACAAUGACCAAGAACUUCCGAGCCUACUUUCCAUGACCUACUUGAUCAUAGACCUAAGUUGCACAACAAUCACUUCAUCACCAGAGACCAAUUAAUAAUCUUACAGAAACCAUAUUAAGAAACAAAACCUAGUAAAGCCUAACUCAUGUAAACAAUAGUAUAUGAUUUAUGUUUUUUAUAAAGAUCACGUAGCAAAUCAAUCGAAUUAAUAAAUUGUAGACACAAAUAAAUCCAUGUAAUUAAUAUCAUUUCAAAUAAACACAUAUAUUGACAUAAAGGAAAUCAUAACAUUCAUAACGAUGAAUAAUUCAAUCGAAAUAGAACAUAAGACUAAGCUCCUCAAAUUUUGAUGUAUCCAAGUACAGACUUUCUUCCUUCCACAAUUCCCUCUUAUGAAUCACUUGCUCAAAAUAAUCUCAAUCCUCGAAAAUAUCUCAAAAACUUGUGUACCUGUAGCUAUAUAUUACACACCAAGGAAAACUUGAAAAUUGUAAAUCUCGCAACCCAGCAAAAUGAUUAAUGUCGAACAUAAUACACGAAAAUGCAUUUCAACAUCACAUACUGCACCAGAUUCUAGAACCUCAAACCAUCCUCAAUACGCCCAAGCCUACUCUUCAAACUUCCUACUAUUGACCAAAAAUAAAGCCUGCUUACCACAAAAUCCGGUAACAUGAUCCUAGGAGAACCUAAUUUAACUCCUAAUAACGUUGCACCUGGCCUGCUAUAAAAGUUUCUCCAAACCUAUUAAAUGUCUCUUUAAAACAAUAAUUCUCCAAACCAUGUUUAGUACUCCGAGCGAUCUGCCGAAACUACUUCUCAAAGUAUGUACAAUUUGAUCUAAUCAACCACAACAACAAUGACCUAGAACCUCCGAGUCUACUUUCCAAGUACAGACUUUCUUCCUUCCACAAUUCCCUCCAAUGAAUUACUUGCUCAAAAUAAUCUCAAUCAUCGAAAAUAUCUAAAAAACCCCUGUACCUAUAGUUAUACAUUACUUACCAAAGAAAACUUGAAAAUUGUAAUCCCAACCCAGUGAAAUGAUUAAUGUCGAACAUAAUGCAGGAAAAUGCAUUUUAUCCUAUCAUACUGCACCAGAUUCUAGAACCCAAACUCCUCAAUACGCCCAAGCCUACUCCUCAGACUUACUACUAUUGUUCCCAAGUAUUUACCAAAAUAAAGCCUAUUUACCACAAAAUCGGGUAACAUAUUCCUAGGAGAACCUAAUUUAACUCCUAAUAACCUUCCACUCCAAAACUAUUAAAUCGCUCUUCAUAAUAACAAUUUUCCAUACCUAGUUUAGUACUCCAAGCGAUUUGCCGAAACUACCUCACAGAGUAUGUACAUUUUGAUCUAAUCAACGACAACAACAAUGACCCAGAACCUCCGAGUCUACUUUCCAUGUACAGACUUUCUUCCUUCCACAAUUCCCUCCAAUGAAUCACUUGAUCAAAAUAAUCUGAAUCCUCCAAAAUAUCUCAAAAACCUCUGUACCUAUAGUUCUAUGUUACCUACCAAAGAAAACUUGAAAAUUGUAAUCCCAACUCAGUGAAAUGAUUAAUGUCGAACAUAAUGCACAAAAAUGCAUUUCAUCUUCUCAUACUGCCCCAGAUUCAAAAACGUCAAACUAUCCACAAUAUGGCCAAGCCUACUCCUCAAACUUCCUACUAUUGUUCCCAAGUAUUUACCAAAAAUAAAGCCUGCUUAAAAAAAAAUCUGGUAACAUGUUCCUAGGAGAACCUAAUUUAACUCCUAAUACCUUUGCACCUGGCAUGUUAUAAAAGUUUCACCAAACCAAUUAAUUGUCUCUUCAAAACAACAAUUCUCCAUACAUAGUUUAGUACUCCAAGCGAUCUGCCGAAACUAGUUCUCAAAGUAUGUACAUUUUGAUCUAUUCAACAACAUCAACAAUGACCUAGAACCACCGAGUCUACUUUCCAUUACCAAAAUCUUAUGCAAUUAACUUGAUCAUAAUACUAAUUUGCACAUCAAUCAAUUCAUCACCAGAGAACAAUUGUUAAUCUUACAGAAACUAUCUUAAGAAACAAAGCAUAGGAAAGCCAAACUCAUGUAAACAAUAGUAUGUAAUUUAUGCUUUAUACAAAGAUCACAUAGCAAAUCAAUCCAAUUAAUAUAUUGUAUACACACAAAUAAAUCCAAGUAAUUAAUAUUCAUUUCAAAUAAACACAUGUAUUGACAGAAAAGAAAUCAUGAGUCAUAACCAUCAAUAGUUCAAACGACAUAGAACAUAUGACUAAGCACCUCAAAUUUUGAUCUAUCCAAGUACAGACUUUCUUCCUUCCACAAUUCCCUCUUAUGAAUCACUUUCUCAAAAUAAUCUCAAUCCUCGAAAAUAUCUCAAAUACUUUUGUCCCUGUAGCUAUAUAUAUUACACACCAAGGAAAACUUGAAAAUUGUAAAUCUCUCAACCCAGCCAAAUGAUUAAUGUCGAACAUAAUGCACGAAAAUGCAUUUCAACUUCAAAUACUGCACCAGAUUCUAGAACCUCAAGCUAUCCUAAAUACGCCCAAGCCUACUCUUCAAACUUCCUACUAUUGACCAAAAAUAAAGCCUGCUUACCACAAAAUCUGGUAACAUGUUCCUAGGAGAACCUAAUUUAACUCCUAAUAACGUUGCGCCUGGCCUGCUAUAAAAGUUUCUCCAACCCUAUUAAAUGUCACUUUAAAACAACAAUUCUUCAUACCAAGUUUCGUACUCCAAGCGAUCUGCCGAAACUACUUCUCAAAGUAUGUACAUUUUGAUCUAAUCAACGACAACAACAAUGACCAAGAACCUCCGAGUCUACUUUCCAAGUACAGACUUUCAUCCUUCCACAAUUCCCUCCAAUGAAUCACAUGCUCAGAAUAAUCUCCAUCCUCGAAAAUAUCUCAAAAACUUCUGUACCCAUAGUUAUAAAUUACCUACCAAAGUAAACUUGACAAUUGUAAAUCUCUCAACUCAGCCAAAUAACUAAUGGUGAACAUAUCGCACGAAAAUGCAUUUCAUCAUCACAUACUACACCAGAUUCUAGAACCUUAAACUAUGCUCAAUACGCCCAAGCCUACUCCUCAAACUUCCUACUAUUGAAGUAUUUCCAAAAAUAAAGCCUGCUUAACACAAAAUCUGGUAACAUGUUCCUAGGAGAUCUAAUUUAACUCCUAAUAACCUUGCACCUGGCCUGCUAUAAAAGUUUACCGAACCAAUAAAUUGUCUCUUCAAAACAACAAUUCACCGUACAUAGUUUAGUACUCCAAGCGAUCUGCCGAAACUACUUCUCAAAAGUAUGUACAUUUUGAUCUAUUCAACGACAUCAACAGUGACCUAGAACCACCGAGUCUACUUUCCAUUACCAAAAUCUUAUGCAAUUAACUUGAUCAUAAUCCUAAUUUGCAGAUCAAUCACUUCAUCACCAGAGAACAGUUGCUAAUCUUACAGAAACCAUCUUAAGCAAACUAAAAGCCUAACGCAUGUAAACAGUAGAAUGUAAUUUAUGCUUUAAAUAAAGAUCACAUAGCAAAUCAAUCGAAUUAAUAUAAUGUAUAACACAAAUAAAUCCAAGUAAUUAAUAUGCAUUUCAAAUAAACACAUGUAUUGACAGAAAGGAAAUCAUGAGUCAUAACCAUCAAUAGUUCAAACGACAUAGAACAUAAGACUAAGCUCCUCAAAUUUUGAUGUAUCCAAGUACAGACUUUCUUCCUUCCACAAUUCCCUCUUAUGAAUCACUUGCUCAAAAUAAUCUCAAUCCUCGAAAAUAUCUCAAAAACUUUUGUACCUGUAGCUAUAUAUUACACACCAAGAACCUCCGAGAUUACUUUCCAUUACCAAAAUCUUAUGCAAUUAACUUGAUCAUAGUCCUAAGUUGCACAUCAAUCACUACAUCACCAGACACCAGCUGCUAAUCUUACAGAAACCAUCUUAAGAAACAAAGCCUAGUAAAGCCUAACUCAUGUAAACAAUAGUAUGUAAUUUAUGCUUUAUACAAAGAUCACAUAGCAAAUCAAUCGAAUUAAUAUAUUGUAUACACACAAAUAAAUCCAUGUAAUUAAUAUGCAUUUCAAAUAAACACAUGCAUUGACAGAAAGAAAAUCAUAACAUUCAUAACGAUCAAUAGUUCAAUCCACAUAGAACAUAAGACUUGAGCUCCGAAAAUCAUAACUUAAUCUACAAAACUCCUUUUUAAGAGAUUCAAAUUCAGGAACGAUGUUUAACAUGUCUACUAUAACUUUUAUGCAGACAACAACUUCAAAUACUCAACUGAAAUGCACAGAUUUUAGUAAAAAGGCAGCUGGGUCAAAAACUCAGAAAACGGAUUUGCGGAAUUUCUUACCGCAGACCCUAAUUCUAUUUUUAAUCCUCAUUCUGUUUCUCCUUUAGUCUCCUCCCUUCUCUCUCCUUUGUUUUCUUACUUAUUUCUAAAAGUUGUUAUAAGUUUGGGCUCGGGUUUGGGUUUACUAACUAUUGGGUCAAGGUUAAUGUCAUGGGCUAAAAAUAGGGUUAAUCUCAAAAACUUAUGUACCUGUAGCUAUGUAUUACCUACUACGUAAACUUGAAAAUUGUAAAUCUCUCAACUCAGCCAAAUCAUUAAUGUCGAACAUAAUGCACAAAAAUGCAUUUCAUCUUCUCAUACUGCCCCAGAUUCAAAAACGUCAAACUAUCCUCAAUAUGCCCAAGCCUACUCCUCAAACUUCCUACUAUUGUUCCCAAGUAUUUACCAAAAUAAAGCCUGUUUACCACAAAAUCGGGUAACAUGUUCUUAGGAGAACCUAAUUUAACUCCUAAUAACCUUGCACUCCAAAACUAUUAGAUGUCUCUUCAAAACAACAAACCUAGUUUAGUACUCCAAGCAAUCUGCCGAAACUACUUCUCAAAGUUAUGUACAUUUUGAUCUAAUCAACGACAACAACAAUGACCUAGAACCUCCGAGUCUACUUUCCAAGUACAGACUUUCUUGCUUCCACAAUUCCCUCCAAUGAAUCACUUGCUCAAAAUAAUCUCAAUCCUCGAAAAUAUCUCAAAAACCUCUGUACCUCUAGUUAUAUAUUACCUACAAAAGAAAACUUGAAAAUUGAUAUAUUGAAGGUGUACCCAGAAAAGAGGAAGGUGUACCCGCCGGUACCGGUGGUAAAGUUGGCCGACUGUCGGCCAAAGGCCUCUGGCCGUCACACACACGCAUUGUGAUCAAUUGAAACGUUAAGCUCUUGCUUUGGUCGUCAGCUGUUAAACAGUUGUCUACUCUGCACAUAUAUACAUACAACGUUGAAUUAUAUCUAUCUAGUUGUUGUAUCACCAGUUCACCACACGUAGUUUUUCAUGUUAGACACUUUCCUCACAUAUGUGGAGACAUUUCUGCAGAUAGUUGUUACAAACCCAAUCAAUGUUUCCUCACAUAUGUGCCAGUGUUCUGCUGCACAUGGUAUUGAAAACUUCAAUAUCUACAUUUGGAUUGAAAUAGCUGNNNNNNNNNNNNNNNNNNNNAAAAAGAAAAAGAAAAAAAAAAAAACGUUUCAGCAUUCCCUCAUGGCUUUUUAUCUUCAAAUUUAUACAAGACCGAAAAAAUGAAAUUGUUUCCGAGAGGGGGGCCUGCGACCCAUCAACCUCCUACCAAUGUAGGUAGAAAACGUGAAAAUUGUAGUAGUUGCUACAUUACUACUAGGUGGCAUGAGUUGACAAAAUUUGUUUGGGAAGCUAAUAAUGCAACAAGUUUAUUUUCGAUUACUUAAUCGACAAGUUGCUUUUACUGUAUAAUGGGGGUUGUUUAGACGUUACAAUCAUCUGGGUGGCAAAGAACUUGUCAGUUGAGGUAGCAAAUGGAGAUGUGGGAACCAAAACAAAUACAUUGUACAAAUGUGGCGAAGAAAACUAGAAGAUGUUAUUCAUAAUUUCAUAUAACACAAUUAUUCAACACAAUAGCAAGGAGGCAAUGAAGCAAUAACCACUCCUUGGCACGUUAAAUACAAAGGAAAAACCAGCAACACAAAUAAAGGUGGAAAGGGAAAAUUAAGCUAUUCUAAUAGCUAACAGAUUGGAUUAUCCUCAAAUUAUCGUAAACCACAAUCCCAUCUCUCGUUCCAAGAG